AUCGGUCAACAAUAUUAUUCUAGUUAUAAAAUACCAUAGGCAAUUUAGAUGAGUUUACACCAUAUAUCUAACAAUUAAUAAUAUAGUAUCGAAAUUAUAAAAUAAAAAUAUCUGCAUUUGUUUCAUUCAAAAUAAUAUAAUAUUGCUUAACUUCCAUGAAAUCUUCAAACAUCUGUAACGACAAAACCAAUGAAAUCAAUUAUUCAAUUGAUAUGUGAACAUUGGCAGCACCUAAAACAAGUGUAUAUUUUCCUUUUCCUAAACAAAAAACAUACUAGUUCAAGAUUUUGCACAGAAUCAACAAGAAGCAAUUAUUCUCAACCAGGCAGCAGCAACCAAUUUAUAACAUAAGAAACAUGCAUCCACUCGUAGUAGUAGACAUCGUGCCCGAAUAUAGCAUUCUCAUCCAAAUAAAUUCGCCAAAAUCACAAAGCAAGAUUCAAGAGAAUCAGAACAAAGCUCAAUGUCAACAUCAACUUAAUUCCCAGAAUUAAGUCAUCGCUAAUUAGGAACAAUCAACAAAAAUCCAUCCUUAAUAAAUGAUCAUGAUCAAGUUUCCUCUCAUGACCAGAGUAAUUGGAUUAUAGAAUUUGAAGCUUGUAGAUUGCUUCUUAUAGAGAAGCAGUGAACAAAGAGCAUUCCAUAAAGCCAUAAACAUUCAAUAAAUGAGAUAUCAAUAAGUUACAAAUAUUACCCCAGCUAAACAUAAAAUAAACAAUUAAUAAAAUAUUUGACAGAUGGUUCAAGACGAGAUCGUCUAACAUAAGGGGUUCAAUUUACCUACACUCCAAUUCAAAAGCAACAUAGAUUUAAUAUUCUUCUUGAACAAAAGCAAAAUGCCAUCCAUAACUCUUCAAACACUAAUGAUUAAAAAACCAGUAAGAUCAGUAAUUAAGUAUGCAAGCGAAAAAAAUCACUUGUUCACUUGCCAACAAAUCUAUCCAUAGUCUUACCUUCCACUUCUUCUUCUUCUUUCACACUUCCAUCUUCUUCAUGCUCAUUUUCGACUUUCUCUUCUGCUGCAAAUAUUUCAACAUACAAUAUCAGGAGGAAAGGACUAUGUUUCAAGUCUGUUAUGCAUAAUUUUAGUUUAAGUAAGCAGUGCACAAGAAGAAAUUCAUAAGAAAAGCUUGGGCCAAUUCUCGUAACUCAAAAGACAUAACAUUAAUGACAUAUAUAAACAUAUAUUUAAGUCAAAUCCACCUGAUUNNNNNNNNNNNNNNNNNNNNNNNNNNNNNNNNNNNNNNNNNNNNNNNNNNNNNNNNNNNNNNNNNNNNNNNNNNNNNNNNNNNNNNNNNNNNNNNNNNNNNNNNNNNNNNNNNNNNNNNNNNNNNNNNNNNNNNNNNNNNNNNNNNNNNNNNNNNNNNNNNNNNNNNNNNNNNNNNNNNNNNNNNNNNNNNNNNNNNNNNNNNNNNNNNNNNNNNNNNNNNNNNNNNNNNNNNNNNNNNNNNNNNNNNNNNNNNNNNNNNNNNNNNNNNNNNNNNNNNNNNNNNNNNNNNNNNNNNNNNNNNNNNNNNNNNNNNNNNNNNNNNNNNNNNNNNNNNNNNNNNNNNNNNNNNNNNNNNNNNNNNNNNNNNNNNNNNNNNNNNNNNNNNNNNNNNNNNNNNNNNNNNNNNNNNNNNNNNNNNNNNNNNNNNNNNNNNNNNNNNNNNNNNNNNNNNNNNNNNNNNNNNNNNNNNNNNNNNNNNNNNNNNNNNNNNNNNNNNNNNNNNNNNNNNNNNNNNNNNNNNNNNNNNNNNNNNNNNNNNNNNNNNNNNNNNNNNNNNNNNNNNNNNNNNNNNNNNNNNNNNNNNNNNNNNNNNNNNNNNNNNNNNNNNNNNNNNNNNNNNNNNNNNNNNNNNNNNNNNNNNNNNNNNNNNNNNNNNNNNNNNNNNNNNNNNNNNNNNNNNNNNNNNNNNNNNNNNNNNNNNNNNNNNNNNNNNNNNNNNNNNNNNNNNNNNNNNNNNNNNNNNNNNNNNNNNNNNNNNNNNNNNNNNNNNNNNNNNNNNNNNNNNNNNNNNNNNNNNNNNNNNNNNNNNNNNNNNNNNNNNNNNNNNNNNNNNNNNNNNNNNNNNNNNNNNNNNNNNNNNNNNNNNNNNNNNNNNNNNNNNNNNNNNNNNNNNNNNNNNNNNNNNNNNNNNNNNNNNNNNNNNNNNNNNNNNNNNNNNNNNNNNNNNNNNNNNNNNNNNNNNNNNNNNNNNNNNNNNNNNNNNNNNNNNNNNNNNNNNNNAAAGGUCUUAUAAAUCAACCUUGAUACCAGAAGAUAUCCUAUUCCAAGGAUUAUGGAUUUACUUGACAAGCUUUUUCUUUUUCAAUUUUGCAAAAUAGCUUCAUAUCUGUUUUCUUCAUGUGGGAUGUCGAAACACCAUUGCUUCUUGAAUUUAUAUACUAUACUUUCCUGAAAGUAGUGUAUGCUAUGCGAAUGCAUAUGAAUUUUAAUGCAUGCUAUGCAAAUGUUGGUCAAUUAAUUCCUGUUCAAUGUAUGGUACUCAAGUUUCUCAAGCUUUUCUUGGGCAUCAAGCCUUUUGAUUCUUCAGAGAUCCAAUUACACUACUCUUCUAAGAUCGAACCAGUGUAGCUCUCAAUUGUCUUUUCCACUCACAUUCUUCCUUGUUCAGUUUUUCAAUACUUUGGAAUAAACUUUAUCAAUCGAUCAUCACUUGACCAUCAUUCAAUGAAUUUCUCAGCACUAACAAAUUUCAAAACAAGUUUCAUCCACCAUCACUGGGUCAUUACUCAUAAGUGUCUCAGCAUUAACCAUUCCAAAACAAACUUUGUCCACUAAUUGUUCUCAUCAUUCAAUCAUAACUUGCAAGUAUAUCGACCAAUUCAUCCUUGUCCUCAUCACUUGGUUAUACCAUUUUUCAAAAUCUACCCCAUCGUAUUUUCCAUUAGUCACAUCAUAUAUCCUUCACAAUCAUCUCUUUUAGGUUUUUACCAUUUCUUCAUUUUGUUACCACCAUCAUCUUAGAUUUCUUUUCAAAUGAAUGCAAGACUCUUUUAAGCAUAUAUUCAUUCACUCAAUAUCAUUUUAAAUCUUGACUAAUGCAAUGCAAUCAUGCAUUUUCUCAAUUCAUUCCAGGGGUGUAACAAUAAGAUAACACAAGGUGAAUUAUGGUAAAGAUAAUCAAUGAAGAUCUAUUUUGGUACAAAUGGGAGAGGAAAUAAAUUGGAUUCAUGUCAUUGGGAUGGAUGGUAUGUCCAAAUGAUGAAGAUUCAGACAAUUCGUAACAUUAAUCUAGGAUUUUUUUCAAAAACUCAUUCCAUUUAUUGUUGAAGUUAUCUUGAGCUUGGUGAACUUUGCCCCAAUCUUUGAGGAAUCUUCAAAUGUCUUUGAUUUUCCCUUGAUGUGAGCCAUUGGACCUGGAUCUUUUUCUACCAAAAUCCUCUUUUCAGGCUUUCAAUUUGAAUCUCUUUUUUUAUUUUCUCAUUCUUUCGUUCUUUUUUCUUUUUUUCUUCAUCAUUUUUUUUCAUCAUCUUUUUUCUUUUUUUUUUUCUUAUUUUUCAUCCAUUGUUGAUAUCUUCUAUACAUAGCAUGAUUCCAUUACUUCAUUAUGAGCAUACCUUUGCUCAACAUAUGACCAUUCAAGUUGAGUAUUCACACUUGAUCCAAAUAGACUUUUCAAGGUUGUAACGUAGGCCAAGGUGAAGGGUCAUAAAAAAUGGAUAUAAUAGGCUCAAAACAUGUAUUAAAAAGGUUCAAAACCAAAGGAUCAUUUGAUACAACUUGGCAUUUUACCCCCACAUCAUUUCAUUAUUCUUUUCUUUCUUCACACAAAAGAUUCUCAUUACUUUACCCUAAAUCAUGUGUAGUAUUUCUUUUUUUUUCUUGAGACUUUUUUUUUAAUUUUUUCAAAAAUUAUCCUUCAGUGUAGAGGGUGAUCCUUGGUUGGGGUUCAUCCGAAAAAAAAAUCAUAAUAGGCUCAAAGGGGUAGCAAUAAAUGGUUUUUCAAAUGGUAAAAGAAAGAUGGCCAUUUUUCAUCUCAAUUGUGAAUACCUUUCUUGAACAUCAUCUAUUAAACAAAGCUCAUGAACCUGUAUAAAAGAUUACACAUCUUCAAGACAUAUCUAUUACACCUCUAGUAACAGCUUACUUUUUGCUCAAAUCAUCCUCUCAUAUUAAUGUGGAUGAGUUUUCAAAAUUAAAUCCCAGAAUUAUCGUUAUCAUUGUCUAAAUAUUCAUCAUCCAAAAUUUGAGAAUGGGAAUGUGAAGUUAUGAAAGGUAACAGGGUAUGGAAUAAUGGUCGAGUGAAAGAGAAAAUGUAAUGAAAUGCAUUAACUUGCCCUUAUUAAGAUGAUAACAAGUGAAGUCAUAUUACAAAAAGAAAUCUAACAAUUACUUGAAAAGAAAUCCUAAAAUGACAAAAGAAACCUUCAACCAUCCUUAUCUCCAUUCUUUAAAAUUGUCCCCCUAUGCGAUCAGGUGAAGAAUCUCCAUCGACAUCUUGCCCCUCAAUUUAUUGUGACUCUCCGGAUCCUUUUUGUUCUUGACUUUCACUCAGUACGCUAACAUUAGGUGUUGUUGCUUUUCCCUCAUCAAAACUUACCAUUCCAUCAUUGAUCAAUCGUUGCACCUUAUACUUUAAAGCAGUGUAAUUUUCAGUAGAAUGGCCAGUAAUUCCAUAAUGGUAAUCGCAGCGGGCUGUAGGAUCAUAUCACUUUGGAUAGGGUGGUUUAAGCGGUUUCACAUGGCUGGGGGCAAUCAAAUGGCUAUUAUAGAGUUCUCGAUAUAACUCUGUAUAAGUCAUAGGGAUUGGAUCAAAUACAAGUUUUUUUCGAGUAGUCCGUUGUUCUCGUGAACCACUUACUGGGUUAAUAGGACGAAUUUGAGUUCUUACAAGAGCUUGAAUGUUAAGGUUAUAUGUAAGAUCUUGAGGACUAAAAAUUGAUCGAUAUGGAGAUGAAUAAGGUAGUUGUGGAGCUAGCUGGUAUAGGUAGGAUGAGGCAUUAUUCACAGUAGGAUAGUAUGGAGAGUAACCUUGGGAUGGAUAGGGUUGAUAACCCCUGAAUUGUGGUCUAUCAAAGCUUACAGCUUGAACUUCAGCUUCUUUUUUUUUUUGAUGCCUUCUUGAUUUUUUCUCCUUUCAAUUUACCAUUUUUUAUGGCACUUUCAAUAAUUUUUUCAGAGAUCACCAUGUCGGUAAAAUUUUUUGUUACAUUCUCUAUCAUCUUUUCAUAAUAAGAAAACUUCAAAGUGCUGACAAAUAACACUGUAGUUUCUUUCUCAGUCAAAGGAGGUUGUAUUUGAGAAGCAACAUCCCUCCACCUCUGGACAUAUUCUUUAAAAGACUCGUUUACCUUUUUUUCCAAAUUCUGUAAAGACAAACGAUCAGGAGCCAAAUCGAUGAUAUGUCGAUAUUGAUCGAUGAAAUCAUGUGCCAUAUCGCUUCAAGAGUGAAUGUGGGUUCUGUCUAGCUGAACAUACCACCUGGCCGCUGAGCUUGUAAGGCUAUCCUGAAAGACAUGCAUCAAAAGUUUUUCAUCAUGAGCAUGAGCUACCAUUUUCUGGCAAUACAUUGUGAUGUGAGUUUUGGGGCAUUUUAUACCAUUAUAUUUUUCAAAUUUUGGUACUUUGAACUUAUGAGGAAUAACCACAUUAGGGACUAGGUAGAGCCCAGCAGCAUCAAUUGACCCAUAAAAGCUAAAUCCUUCCACAGCCCUUAGCCUUUGCUUUAGCAUGCUAAUCUUGGAACUUUCCUGUACUUCCACUUUCAUCUUUUCUUUCUCUUUCUCUUUUAAAUCAUCUAGAUCAGAAAUUGGUUCUGCUACUUUUUCAGUGAAGACAGGAUUUAUAUAGCUAUUAUACUGCCCUGGAUUGAAAGCUGAUGGCAUUCUAGGAUAUAUUGGAUAUGCGAAGUGUUGUGGCGGGACCUCUUGAGCAGACUGGGCCUGAGGUGGGCUAAAACUUGAAGGGUAUAAAGGGUCAGCCACUUCUUGUAAUGGGGGAACUUGCUGGCUUGUAUUUUUUUCAACUCCUUUUCCUUUAUUCAUGUUAUUAAAAGCUUUCAGAAUCCUGCUUAGCUCACUUUCAAUCUUCUCUUGUGCUUUUUCUAGCUUUUCAAAUCUAUGGAAACUUUUUUCCUUCAUUUGCCUUGCUCUAAAUCUUGUGUUGUAUGGAUGAGCAGGGUUUUCGCUAGAUGAAGCUAUCCUGGAACCUUGAGUACCAUACUUAUGAUUAAAAAUGUUAUGCUAUGCUUUAUGUAUGAUACUUUGAUGCAUGAAUGAAAUGUACAUUUUCUUGAAUGAAACCUAAUAUGACAUGGAUGCAAAUGAUUGUGUCAAAAUAUGAUCAUAAAAGUAAUGCAGAUGCAUACAAUCAGACAAACAACAUAGUUAGUUUCAUGGAUGAAAUGAAAGUGAUGUUGAUGCAUAAUAUUACAUAUAAUAAUGAAAAUGAUGCACAAAGUUAAACAAUCAAAAUGAUUAGAUAAACACCUUUUUUAUGUCCUAAUUUCAGGGUAUAUUUAUCAUUGGGUAGAAAUGGCUCUAUCCUAGGCUUAGGCACUCUUAAGGUUCACUAUAUGUGAUUUUAAGGUCAAAGUCUAAAGGUCCUCAAAUUGUUCCUUACAUCUUUGUCCAUCACAGACUAGUAAGGCACCCUAAUCCUUACCCAUUACAGGCUAUAAGCGAAAAAGGUUCAAUUUGAGUGGGAGUAUUUCGCUAGCCACUGCGGAGGCAUUAGACCUCACGAAAGCAAUAGGUACUUUACUCCCUCCUAGAGGGUCGAAACUCGGGUGUAGAGCUCAUGUUAUGCAUAUGCAUAUGAAUGAUAUAAUUAAUAAGGUAAAUAAACAUGCACGAAUAAUAACACAUACAUACAACAAGGUUCAAUUUUAUUAGGCUUUUAGAUAACAUAAAUUAUUUGCUGGCCUGACUCUCAAAUUCCUCAGUGGAGUCGCCAAGCUGUCAUAACGUCUAGAUCAGGAGAUCUAUCGCUAGACAUUGACUUAAGGGAGUCGCCACCAAUCUUUUUUAUUUAGGUGCGAUUGCCACCUAAAGAAUCUAUCCUUUUAGGAAACACCUAAGUUUAAGGGUCCUUAAAAGAAUAGGUUCAGGUCUGCUAACUAGAAUAGGGUUCAAGAGUUCGAUUACGUGUGAGAAAGGUUAUAGCAUCCUUACAACGCCCAUCAAAAGAUGGUAUCAGCUUAAAUUUGUGUUAUCCAAAAGCCUUAAAAUUUUACCAAGUAGUUAAUUAUUGGAAAUUAUUCUCAAUUGACUCUAAUACUUUUAGCAAAAAAUUGAGAAAAUUUCCUCACCUCAAGAGUAUGCAAGAAAAACUACUAUUUCACUUGUAGAGGCUCCGUCGUCGGAUUAAUUAAAGAAAAAUCAAAAUCAAAAUCAAAAUAGAAAGGAAGGAAAGAAUGAUUGUUUUUGUGUAGGAAAAAUUGAUACUUUCAACUUUUUCCCAAAAAUAUUUUUUGGAAAUUUAUUUUUAAGGAAAAUUGAUAGUUUUAACUUUUCCUCAAAAAUAUUUUUUUGAAACUUUGAUUUUCAAGGAAAAUUGAUACUUUCAACUUUUUCUCAAAAACCCUUUUUUUGAAAAUUUAUUUUUAAGGAAAAUUGAUGCUUUCAACUUUUCCCCAAAAAUAUUUUUUGAAAAUUUAUUUUUAAGGAAAAUUGAUACUUUCAACUUUUCUCUAAAAAUAUUUUUUGGAAAUUUUGAUUUUCAAGGAAAAUUGAUACUUUCAACUUUUCCCUAAAAAUAUUUUUUUUUGGAAAUUUUGAUUUUUAUUUAAAGAAAAAGAAUAAUAAAUAAAAUAAAUAAAAAUAAAAAAUAAAGAAAAGUAAAACAAAAAUAAAAAUAAAAUAAAGAUAAAAAGAAUAUUAAAUAAACCUAAUCUAAUAAAUAAAAAAAACAUAUAAACAAAUAAAUGAAAAAAAAAAUCUGGAGUGGCUCGGCUCGGUUCGGCUCAAGGAAGAGAAAACGGCUCGGAGAAGCGGCUUUGGAGCUCGGCUUGGCUUGGCUCGGCUUGGAGGGGGCAGACACGCGCGGGUUAGGAAGCGGAUCGACGCUCGGGUCGGGUCGGAUCUCGGUAAAUCGCGCGGAUCCUCUAGGUUACUUAAGGCCAAAACGACGUCGUUUUGAGAGGGUAUAAAAGGCACUUCUCUUUAUUUUUCGGCAGAACGUUCCUCCCCUCUCUCUCUCUCUUCUUCCUUUUUCCUCUCCCUUCUCUCUAAAAGAUCGAAGAACUCCGGUUAAAGAUUCACCGGAUUUUGGGUUUUGUCGUCGAAAUCUGAGUUUUUUCACAGGAAGUUGGCCGGAAGAUCACCAGUUUCUGGGAUUCUUCGUCGAAAACUGGGCAGGUCACUGGAAACUUCAAGGUUGACCAGAAUUUUCGUCGAAAAAUUCAAACUUCGUCGGAAAAUUCAUCGGAAUCUGGAAUUUCCAGAAAUUUCCAGAAAAAAAAUUCACCAAAAAACUUCAAAAAAUUUUUGCUAACUCCCAGAACAUUCCUAAACCUUUUCUUAGCUCUCUAUACAUCCCUAUUCUCUCAAUCAGUAGCUUUUGCUUACUGUUUUCUGUCUCUGUGUGUGUUGCAUCUGUUCCAGGAGGUCCCUUUUAUAGGGAUUGAUCAGGAACCUGAUCAAUCCCAAUUCCUCCUUGGACGGGAAUCCAAUCUUUGAAUCCAAUCUGGACUCUUCUUAUUGAAUUCCCAUUCACAAUGGAAUUCUUCAACUUUCAAUCACAGCCAUCAAAAAAAGAAAACAAAAAAUAAUAAUACUAAUCAGAUAAUCAGAAAAAAAAAUCAGAUAAAAUUAAUAGAUAAUUUAAAAAAAUAAUAAAAAAUAAAAUAAGAUAAACCCAAAAAUAUAUUACAAAACAAAAAAACAAAAAAAUAUAAUAAAAUAAUAAUAAAUAUAUAACUAUAUAAAUAAAAUAAAUAUAAAUCUAAUCUAAAUAAAUAAAUAAAGAUAUACAUAUAUUAAUACAUAAUAAUAAUAAUAAAAUACAUAAAAUAUAUAAAAUACAAAAAAAAAUAAUAUAAGAUAAAAAUUGAAUUAGACCUUACCCAUUUGGAUCAGGCCCAAUUAAUCUAAACCUGAACCUAAUUAGGUGUCUACAAUCAAAACAAAAACUAACAUAAAGGCUGUGCAUCUUGGUCUUGAAUUCACAGUCUUCACUUUUGAAUAUAGUAACCAUACAACCGAAUCAUUAAUUAUUUUAAACGAUAUAACAAUAUAAACGUUUAUUUUAUAUGUCUAUAUCUAUAUCAAUACUAAAAUAAUAUAAACAAUCUUAAUACUAUCAUGGGGUUAAGAUGUUCUCUAAAUAAAAAAUGGCGGAGAAAGUACGGCGCGGCUAGCUGGCCAGAAUUCAGAAUCUCAGUUCUCCUCCAAAAAAAAAAAAAAAUGUUUGACUACAGUGUUACGGUAUAUAUCCUAGCUUGCCAUAGGCAGCCUGAGGACUGCAUCUUUACCGAAAAAAAAUUCAGUUUCAAUUGUAUAGGCAGUACCUAAAGUAAAAUCUUGGGCUAAUUAAAACACGCACAGGUAAAUCAGAAUUUUACUUGCUUAGCUAAAAUUCAACAUGAGGUUCGAAUAUCCAUACGUCCCAAUCUUUUUAUUUAACUCACCACUUUUUUUAUUAAUUAAAAUUAUCAUAAAUUAAACUUUAAUCACUAAAAUUCAAAGUGCAGCAUUCUAUUCUAUAAAACUUAAGCCUAAAUAUGGGUAUCCAUUCAUUAAGGUCACAAAAAGGAAGCUAGCGAACUAGACAUACAAAUUAAACCUAAACAUUAUAAUCAACCAUAAAAUCAAACAACACCCAAGCAAUUCUUAAUUGCCUGGUCACUAAUUUUGGGCCAGUCACUUUAAGCCUAAAAUAGUGAUUCGUAAUCUUCGCAAGCAAGAAAAGGAGUCCGGCUUUACUGGCUUGAGGCCUUGAGCUAAUACCUAAUAGCCUAAUACCAAAUGGGAUUGUAUUUAAUUAGGAUCUAUAAUAAUAAUAAAAAAAAUUAAUACGGCUAUUAUUGAUGCACUUUUUAAUUCCUUAUAUUUUUUAUGUAAUAUAUAUGUCCAAGCUUUUAUUAGGGUUUACUAGUAUGCUACACAAAUAUUAUAUUAGUAUGGUAUUAUACAGUUUAUCUAAUCUAAUGGUUGAGUUUGAAAACUGUGCAAAUUAUGAUAUAUAUAUAUAUAUGUCUUUUUACCAAUUAAUUCUUCUGGUUUGUGAAUCUAAAGUUUGUUCAAAAGCAAUGAUCAUAUACACAUCAUGUUGUAUGGUUUAUAUAUUUAUAUAAAAAUACCAAUCGAUAAAACCAUCGCUCAUUCCACAUUUGCAAAAUAGGAAAGUUGUUACUGUUUUCGUUACAUGAUUGUUUCAUUAUCAUUCAAUAAUUUAUUUAUUAAUUAAAAGAAACCCUAUUCAAUUAAACUUACCCAUUUUAAAGAAUCAUUUAUAAUUUAAUACAUUGUUCUUUUUCAAUUAAAAAACAAUACAUUAAUUAUGCUUUUUAAUUUAAAUAUCACCAUUAACAUAUUAAUACAUUGUUCUUUUUCAAUUAAAAAACAAUACAUUAAUUAUACUUUUUAAUUUAAAUAUCAUCGUUGACAUAUGUAAAUAUAUGCUUCUUAUAUUUUUCUCACACACACAUAUAUAUUAUUUAUUGAAGUAUUUGGUAUUGUGAAAAUAUGUAAUGGAUGCAUUUCAAUUAUAAAAUUUUUAUUAUACUUUUACAAUUAUCUAAUCACAAUAAAUAAUUACGUUUAAAUUCAUCACUUAUUGUCGUAAUGGUUUUGAGGCCGUUAGACGUAAAAGAGUUUUAAAAUCAAAGUAAAUAAAAAAAGAUCGUCAUCAAUCUUUUUUAGGGUGUGAUUGGCCAUUCAAAAGUUUAUCUUUUUAACAAAAUUAUAAAAACGACUAUAAAGUUUAUCAAAAAGAUAAAUUUCAGUCUACAAAAAAUCAGGUUAGGCUCAGGAAUCGAUUACAUAUGGGAAAGGAUUAGCACCCUCACAAUGCCCAUAAAUUGGUACCAUUUAAUUAUGCGUUAUUUUCAGUGUUGAAUAAAAAUGGUUUCAAUUUGAAAUUUAACACUAAUUUCCUUCAUUUGGAAAAAGAAAAUUUUGCUAAAGCUCUUUAUUUAGGAAUAUUGAGAAAAAUCUUAAAGUUAAAUAAUUAUUUUAAAAUUCUUUAACAUCUAGGCAGAAUUUAAAAUAAUUUUUUUCGCUUAAGAUUUAAUAUGAUAAUCCUUAAAAUGAAAUAACAGUUUUUAUAGAAGAUAAUUGUUAGUGACUCUCCAAUAUCUAGGUAGAGUACCAAGAAUUAUUUCUUUCGGAAUGUUAUUUUUAUUUUAUUUUAUAAUAUCAUAAAAAAAAUUUUAAAAUGUAUUAUUCUUUUUUAUUAUAAAAUAUUUUAUCAUCAAAUAGUAAAUAAAGGCUAAAGAGAGAAUAAUGAUAACACGCUAACGUAUGUAUGCUAAUGAAUAUCAUGUAAAAAGAAAUGUAAUUUAAAAGUUGGGUUCUUAAGUAUAAUGAGACCACCCCGACUCUCCAAUAUCUAGGUAGAGCUUAGGUGCGACUGUUUAUAUUUGAGAUCCCAAUUUGCUAUUAUACUUUUUUUUAUUAAUCUUAUUAUUAAAGCGAAUUAUGAAAUCGUGUGAAAAAACUUAACGAAGUAAAGUUUCUUAAAUACCCCAUCAUCUGACGGUAUUCAGGAAUAAAUUACUGAGAUUUUCAACGUGUCCUUAAGAUUUUCAGAAAGUUUUGAGUAAAGGCUUGAGUAGAGGUUUUGAAGGUUUGGUUUUAAGGUUUAGAGGGUUUUAAGGCUUGAAUUUUAGGAUAUGAAAGGUUUAGGGUUUUGAUUUUAGAGUUUGAAGAUUUUAGGGUUUCGGUUUUAAAAUUUAAGUUUUGUGGUUUUGAUUUAAGAGUUUGGAUUUAGGGGUUUUAGAAACCUAAGAUUUUGAAAAUUAAGAAUUAGUGUUUAAGGUUUCGUUUUUAAGAAAAUACAAAUAUUUCUAAAAAUCUCUAACAUCUAGGUAAAUUUUUGAAGCAAGUUUGAUUUUAAUAAUUUUUGAAAAUUAAUUAAAAAUUUCUUAUAUAUUUAUUUUUAUGAAAAUUUGUUAAUAAUAAUUUCCUAACAUCUACACGAAAUUAUUUUUAGGAAAAUAUUUUUAUUCCCUCCAACAUCUAGGCAAGAAAAAUAAUAAAAAUUAUUAUUAUUUUUUGAGCAUUUUUUAAUAUAUAUUUUUAAUUAUUAUCUUACUUGUUUUUAUUUUUAUUAUUAUUAAAAUAAUUAAAAAAAUUAUUUUAACAAAUUUAAGAAUUUAUCAUGCAUCAAUAUAAAAAAAUACUUAAAAUAACAAAAAUAAUAAUAUAAAAAAUUUAAAAAAUUCAAAAAUUUUUUUCUUUUUACCUAAACCAGAUCGGUCAAUGGUCCGAUCAACGAUCGAUUCGGCUGGACUGAAAAAGGGUUGGUUCGGCUUGCGAUUCAGUCAAAUUGACUGAGGAGCGAUUUAGUUCGGUUUGAUUGAACCGACUCAGAGUUGUUGGAGGAACCGGUCAACGGGUCGUUGCGCGGAUCCUGAAUUAGGUCACAGGCGCACGCGAAUCCUCCCUGGUUCAGACAACGUUGUUUUAGUUCUUUGUUUUGAAACGACGUCGUUUUGGACAGCUGAGGCUAUAUAUGAACCAAGUUUUUUUUUUAGCUCAGUUUUCUUCUGUUCCCAAAAAAAUUUUCAGAGCUUUGGAAAGAGCUCAGGGAAUCCACCGGUAACUGAUUGUAGGUGUCGUGCUGUCGCGUCGAUCGUCAUCUGGGCUGCCACCGGUGGUGGUCGUCAGUGGUCGAAAAAUUUUAAACUCCUUCUGAAAGCUCUAUUUGAUGCGAUCUUUUCGGAUCUGGUUUUUUUUUCAUCGAAAACAACCUCGAUCUGUGUAGAUCAGAUUUCAAAGUUUUUUGUUCUUUUUUUUUUUUUUAAACUGAAGCUGAUGAUGAUUUUUUUUAUUUUUUGCUGAUAGCUUGGCACUAGGUUCCUUGCCUAGCGAGGACUGUGUUUUUUUUUUGUGUUUUAGUUUUUGGAGGGUGAGGGGUUUCUGGUGGGCGAGAGGUUGAUUGGGGUUAGGAAUAGCAGUGUGUCUAUGUAGGCUUUUUUGGUGGUAGCUAUUGGUUUAAAUGCUUUCAGAGAGAUCGAAAAAAAUGAGAUAUGGUGCUUUAUAGGGUUGGGAAUGGCAGGUUAAACGUGCGUCUGGCAAAGAAUGGGUGAUGGUUUUGGGCAGUUAGAGCCGAUGAGGUGCAGGGUAUGGUGAGGGGACAGGCCAGGGGUGGGUGGCCAGUGGUGCCAUGCAAGGCACCAUUGCCAUCCUAAUUUUUUAGUUCUGUUGUUGUUUUUUUUUAUUUUUAUUUUAUAUUAUUUUUUUAAUAAUUAAAAAUUAAUAAAAUUUUAAUUAAACCAAUAUUAUUAUUAAUAAACAAGAACUGAAAAUAGUAGACUUGGACAAAAUCGAUAUCUACAGCUACUCUUCUUUGCACAUUCUGAGAAUCAGGAAUAGGAUAAAGAUAAAGAAAAUGAUUUUGUUCGGAAGCAAAUCAUGAAUUUUUUUUAAAGUUUUUUUUUGAAACCACAAGUCAAGUAAUAAAAAAAAUGAUCAGGACGACACCGCAAGUCGAGAAGUAAGAAAACAAUCGGGACAACACUGCAAGUCGAAAAGUAAAAAAAUGAUCAAGAUAACAUCGCGAGUUGAGAAGUAAAUAAUCGAUCGAGAUAACACCGUAAGUCAAGAAAUUAUGUUCGAAGGUCUUAGAAAUCAUGCCCGAAGGUCUUAUAAAAUCGACUGAGACAACACUGCAAGCCAAAAUUAAUGAAUCGAUCGGGAUAACACGUGAAUCGAAAUUAUGCCCGAAAGUCUUACAGAAUCGAUCAGGAUAACACCGUAAGUCAAAAUUAAAGAAUUGAUCGGGAUAACACCAUGAAUUGAAAUCAUGCCCGGAGGUCUCACAGAAUCGACUGGGAUAACACUGCAAGUCGAGAUUAAAGAAUUGAUUGGGAUAAUAUCGCGAAUCAAAAUUAUGCCUGAAUGUCUGAGAAAUCAUGCUCGAAGGUUUUAGAAGUCAUGCCUGGAAGUCUUACAGAAUCGACCGGGAUAACACCACAAAGUCAAAAUUAGAGAAUCGAUCGGGAUAAUCCUGCAAAUCAAAAUUAUGAUCGGAGGUCUUAGAAAUCAUGAUUUUUAAAUACUCCUCUCAAUUAGAGGCAAUAGAACUUUGAAAAUUUAAAAAUUUUUGAAAAUGACUUUUCCCCAAUUAGAGUUAAUGAAUGCAAUCAAUGAUACAAAUGUCCAUCUUGAUCAAAUGAUGCUAAUGAAAAUGUUGAUAAAAAUACAAAUCUCAAUGCAAAUUCAAGAAUAUGAAUGCUUGAUGCAACUAUAUUUGACAAUAACAAUGUUCCUUUCAUGUAAAUGCUCAUACAAAUACAUUUUCUUAAGAUGCGAAUGCCAUGAUGCAAAUGCAAAUUUUCUUAUGGUGCGAAUGCAAAUAUCUUGUGCAAGUGCAAAUGCAAGUGAUGCAAAUACAAAUGUCUUUCUUGUGGUACAGAUGUAAGUGAUGCAAAUACAAAUAUCUCUUUUAUGAUGCAUAGAAGAACGAUGCAAAUUUGAAUUUCUUUUUUUUUGUAGGUCAAAUGUCUUUUUCAUGAUACAAGUAACGCAAAUGCAAGGUCUUUCAAAAGGUUUUGCAUCGAGAAUUUUUUUUAUUCUGGAUAGAACCUUGAAAGUUUAAAACUUCUUUUGGGGCCAAAUAAACUGAGCUUAAAUUUUAUUGAAGGCUAGCUAAACUGGGCUUAAAACCUCAUUUGAGGCCAGGUAAACUAAGCUUAAAACUUCAUUGAUGGUCAGAUAAACUGGGUUUAAAUGUCAUUGAUGGUCAGAUAAACUAGGCUUAAAUGUCAUUAAUGGCUAGAUAAAUUGGGCUUAAAGCUUCAUUAACGGUCAGAUAAACUGAGCUUAAAUAUCAUUGAUGGCCAAAUAAACUGGGCUUAAAAUUUUAUUAAUGACCAAAUAAACUGGGCUUAAAACUUCAUUAAUGGUCAGAUAAACUGAGCUUAAAACUUUUUUUUUGGCGAUCCCUAUCAAAAAUAAAAAAUGUGAGGAUUUUCUUUCCAAAUGGAUGUAAUAGUUUUGUAAAUAGCAAUGUUUAUUCAAAAGGCUCCAACCCUUAAAGAGAGUUGAAGAGACAUAAUUUUUCAUGCAAGCUCACAAAUAAAACAUAAGCUUUUCUACAAGCAUGAAUUCUUUGAAAAUCAAACAUAUUCAACAUUUUUCUUAGUCUUCAAAUGCGAUAUUUUGAUAUAUGUCAAGAUCAGUUGUAAGAGCUUGAGAUUUUAAAGGGUUAUUUGGGAAUAAACAAAAAUUAAGACUUUCGACAUCAACCUAUCUCAGACUUCUAUGGCUUUGAUAUUUCAGAUCUUUAAAAAAGGUUUGGCUUUACGUUUGUUUAGCAUCCACCAUACUUAGCAUCAGGAGUGACCUUUCAGGGUUGGCUCUAGACUACCAUUUCGAGGGUUUUCACUCUAGAGCCAUUUUUUUUUCUAUUUUUCUUUUUUAUUUGAUUUUUUUACGCAUCAUGCAUUUGAAAAUUCAAAUCUAAUCCAAAAGAAGAAAAGAAUUUUUUCGAAAGAGUUUAACAGUUCAAACAGGAAAUUAAGUAAUAAAAGGAAAACUCAAAAGAUUCAUGUUCAUUUUUUCAAGAGAAACUCUUUAAGUUUAAGCUUUCAUACCUAAUCCAAUAUAGAUUUUUCAAAGGUUGUAAUGUAGGUUAAGGUUUAUGGUUGCAAAAAAAAAAAGGAUAAAAAGGCCCAAAACAAGUAUUUAAGGGUAUUUGAAACUAAGGAUCAUUUUUCAUUGAAAUGAUACACUCUAAGGUAUAUUCUAUUUUAUACUUUCCACCUAUUCAUUUCUUUUUUUUUCCUUCUUUUAUUCUUCUUUUCCUUUCAUUUUUUUGCAUCCUUUUAUUGAGUGUAUUCAAAACUUUUAUGAACUUUUAUAUUGGGUUUUUAUCCCUAUCACAUGAGAUUCCAUUAGACAUUCUUAUUCUUAACCUUCAAAUGUAUUCUUUUUUUUUGCCUCCAAUGUGGAAGGUGAUCCUUAGUCAAGAUUUAUUUUGAAAGAAUUCAAUCAGGCUAAAAAAGGUAACAAGAGAUAAAUUUUUAUUUUUGUGAAGGGAUAAUGAAAGAUGGCCAUUUGUCAUUUCAAGCAUAAACACUUAAAUUGAAGAUUACUCUUUAGGAAAAUGAACUUGAAAAAAAUUUUUUAUCUCAAAAAUUUUUUGGUUUUUUUUCUUUUUUUUUAAACUUUGACUUUGUCAGUACCUUUUUUGGAUUUGCUCAAUUUUUUUUAAGUGCCUGAUAUCAUAACCAAUUUUUUUUGUUGUUUUUUUUAUACCCUAAUAGCUCACACCUAGAUUCAUUUUGCUAGUAACAUGUUUCAUGAAAGAUGCUUCAUUUUAGUAAACCACCUAUAAUGAAAGUAAUUACAAGAGAAGGGUCAUAUAAAAUGGAUGAGAAAAGGAUUAUGUGGGGUAAAUAUGUUUAAGGUAUCAAAUGAUCUAAGUUACUCCACAAAAAGAGAACAAAAGGGUUAAUCAUAACUCAAGUUACCUUAAAGGUAAUGAGAUAUUUCUUUUCUGACAAAUAUACCUCAAGACAAAUGAUCAGGUUAAUUUUGAGAUAAAAAGCUGAAAGGGUAGUGUACUUGAGUGCAUUUUACAAAACUUGGAUUUAAAAAUUUUAAAAUUGUAGCAUAAUCUUGUCAUAUCAUAUUAUCGUAUUUUAAUUCUAAAAAAAAAGAAGGUCAUAUAGACUUGAUUUUCUAAGAAUCACAUAUUUUUUAAUGGCUAUUUCAUUUGUUCAUUGCCUUAGAAAAGAAUAUUGCCAACAAUAUUAAGUGAAAAUAAGGUUCACAAAUUUGAAUUCAAGGCUAUCAAAGGGUCAUGACUAAUGAAAUGGGGUCAACUGAAUGAGCAAAUUGGCAUUUAGGUAUUUGGAAAUUUCCUAAUAAUGAUUGCCAAUUCAUCUUAGACUUAAAUUUUUUUUUUGUUAUCUUUUUUUAAAGACAUUUCUCUAGCUUCGAUACUUAACCACAUGGGGUUUUAUUCAUAUCUAACAUCUUUCCUUUUUUUUUCUUUUUUUUAAACCAACUAUAUAUAAAAACUUAUACGAAGUAAAAGGCCUCAAAUGAUAAUAUAAUCAUAAAAUACUAUGAUGCACAAUGUUUACUCAUGCAAUUCAAACCUUAGGACUUGACUAAAAAAAUUAUCAUCUUGAUCGUACUCUUGAGAUGAUAUCCAAAGUUACACAAACAAAAAUUUCUCCUUGAUGUUUUAACUUUAGCAGCACUAACUUGCAACUCUAUUACUAUCAAUCAUCAAGACCACCAACUAACUCUUUAAACUUUACAGCAUUUGUAUCGAUCAAAGCUUAAACUUUAUCCUUGAAGACAGUACAAUCUUCUAUGAAAUGCCCUUUAACUCCAUCAUGAAAUUCACAUUUAACAUUAGGAUCAUACCAUUUCGGGUACGAAAUAUUUUUUGGGUCUUGCAAGAACAACAGAGAUCAUAUGAUUCUUAAUUAGUAAAGUAAAGAGCUUAAUAUAAGGUAUUGAAAGUGAAUGAUACACUUUGGCUCUCUUUCUCUUAUAACUCUGUGAAUAACUUAAGUUUAUCCUUGGUUUUAUUCAUGGUGAAGAAAUUUGAGCACACAGAUGAAGUGGUUGAAGAUAAUCAUCGAUCAAAAAUAUUGGUUGGGGACAAUAUGGUAGCCAUUGUGAAUAAUCAUCCAUUGCAUCUUCCUGUAUCAUGGUGAGAUUUCUCUCAUUUUACCCUUUAACAAUUAUUUCUUGGGCUUGUUUUGUAAAAAUAUCUCCUCUUUUUUUUAUCACCAGUAUUUAUAAUUCUUCUCUUUCUUAUCCCAUCUUCAAUUUUAUCCAUAGCAAAUAAUAAAUUCAUAAACUCUAAUGAAGUAUUGCUGAUCAACUUAUCAUAAUAGGGAGACGAAAGGGUAUCAACAAACAGGGAAUUCAACUUUCUAUUUGUAAGAGGUGGUUGUACCUACGAUACUAUAUUUUUUCAUCUAACAACAUAUUCUUUGUAGCUCUCAUUGGGGUUUUUCUCAUAUUUUGGAGGGUUAAUCGGUCUGGAGCCAACUCCAACAUAUAUUGGUAUUGCUUCAAGAAUGCCCGUGAUAAAUUUUUCUAAGUACUAAUUUGACUAUUUUUCAGAAUAAUACCAAUUAGCUGCUGCCCCAAUCAAACUUUCUUGAAAGACAUAAAUAAGCAGCUUUUUAUCACCAGCAUACCCAACCAUUUUGUGAUAGUAUUAAGUCAAAUGUAUUUUAAGACAUCCGAUUUCAUUAUACUUUUCAAAAUCUAAGGCUUUGAAUCUUGAUGGAAUAAGGAAAUCUGGCACUAGACUAAGUUCAUUGGCGUCAACAUUCCUGUACAUAUCAUGGCCUUCAAUUACCUUUAAUUUCUCUUUCAACAGAUCAAAUUUAUCUUUUAUUAUCGUAUCUCUUGAUGGAUCUAGCACACUAUAUAAUUUUUUUGAUUCUUUAGGAUCAUCCCCAUUAGGCACAACAGUGGAGUCAUUAAGAGUGCACUUGAGAUCGAUAUUUGUCUGAAUUGAUGGCAUAUUGGCAGAAAUGUCAGUAAAAGUUAGAUGAGUAUUUGGAGGUAUUUGUGGCAUAUAAGGGUCUUGAACAUAUGUGGACUCAGACGGAUACAAUGGUGUCUCAACAAUUGUUUCCUCCCUUGCCCCAUGUGUUUUAAUAAAUCUUUUUCCUUUUGUCAACUCUACUAACAUUUGUUUUAAUUGUACCAACUGUCUGUUCAUGUUUUGUUGCAUUCCCGUAACUGUUUCACUGAUAUCUUUUUGGGCCUUUUCUACUCUAUCCAUUCGACUGAUAUCUUCAUUUUCUAUGAUUCUAGUACUGACUCGAGUGCUAUAAGUGUGCAGACUCAACUGACCUCGUUUUCUAGAAUAGUUAUCCUUGAACCUUUUAUUAAUUACCAGAAGUCAGAAAUGCACGACAUGAAUUCUAUUAUAAAAAAAAAAUUUACUUCGAAGGUUUGAUGAAAGUAUAUUUACAAUUAUCAUUCCUUGUCCUUAGCUGGCAUAAAAAGCAAUGAAUUCAAGCAAAUGAUGCAAGAUAUGCAAGUUAAAUUUUAUUAUUUUGGUGAGGAGAAACUUGAAUUCUAUCCUAUAUUCAAAAUAGGUCAUCUAAAUAUAUCCCUUUUGUCUCAAAAGUUUGGUGAAGACAUACUUGCAACCAUUAUUCUUUUUUACAUUAUUUUAGGCACGCUAAUAAAAUAAACAAAUGCAUCAAUUCAUAGAAAAUUUAGGUCAAAAGAAGUUUUCAUUCAUUUCAAAAAACAUCAAGUUUACACAUCAUGAAUCAUUCUAGGGCUAGGAUUAAAAAGUGCUAAACCUACUCUCAUUCUCCUUUGUUUCACUUAAAAAAUCUAAAAAUAGUUGACUAUGAUUGCUGGAAAGAACAACCUUUUACUUUAAAAGCUUUUUAUUCAUCAUCUCGAUCAACUUUACUGUUGCCUACAGCACUACCUGCUAUAUCAACAUGGAUCAAUGAAAGGUUCUCAUAAAUAACUGACUUCAUUUUGCUAUCAAAACUAAGAUAUCCAACUUUCAUCAAUCCUUGCACCCUAUGUUUCAAAGCUAUGCAAUUUUCUAAAGAAUGGCCAAUGAUACCAAAAUGGUAUUCACAUCGAGCAUUGGGGUCAUACCAUUCGGAGAAAAGUGGUUUAUGAGGUUCAACAGGGAUAGAGAUAAUGAAAUAGUUUUCUAGAAGUAAUGGGUAUAACUUUGUAUAAGACAUGGGUAUUGGAUUAAUAAGGGCUUUUCUUUUGGUGUUGCUAGAGUUUUUUUGCCCUAUAGUUGGUUUGCUUUGUUGAAAAGAUGAUAGCUUAGUUAGUCUUGAGGUGAAUUGAGAAACUUUGGGUCGAAGAUUGGGUUCAAAAGGUAGUGACAGGAUAGCAUACUGAAUAGGCGAUUGUGAAAUAUGAGAUGGUGGAUAUGGAUUCAGUUGUGAAAUUCUUAGUGGUUGUAUGAAAUUUAGGGGCCUAAUCCUCGGUGCUUGGAAAGGAGGUUGAAAAUGAUCGUAAAAAGGAUUUGGGUGUGAUUUUAGACUCGGGAUAGUUUGUGAAGGUUGUUUGAAGCCAGUUGGCUCAUUCUUGGAAAUCAAACUUUUGAGCUCAGUCAUUUGCAUGGCUAGUUCACCCAUUCCUCUCUUGAGUUCGCCCAAACCUUGAUCACUGUUCAAAUCACCCAAUGUUUUAACAUGCUCUGGCAGAGUGUUGGAACUAACGAGAGCCAAUUAACCUUGACUUGACGAAAAUGAAAAUGGUUUUUGAGGAGCAACUAACUUAACCAUACCAUUACUUUUAACCAUUUCUAUCAAUUAAGCAAUUUGUCAUUUCAUCUCUCGAAGCUUAAGUCAUAAUUCCUCUUGAUUCAACUUUAAGGCACUAAUCCUUUUUCAAAUUGAUCUCUCAUUUUCGUGACUCUGAUUUCCACCAAGACAACAUUUUAUUCUAGGACUUGAAUAGAAAAAUUCUAGAUUACUACCCUUAUUGAAUGAAUAUCACAAAAACAAUGACACACGAAGUAUGAAUACAUGAAUACGAUGGCUAAAGAAUGUCAUGAAAUGCAUGUAUGCCUAUGACAAUGAAUUUUUAUAUGUAUAAAUGACCCAAAUGAAAAUUUUUAUCAACCAUGAAUGUGUAUGUAAGGAAUGUUAUGUUGCAAGGAUAGUGGGAUAUAAAAUGUAAUGUUUGUUCCAUACGACCCUACCAUUCAUGAAUUUAUAUGCAUGAAUGCAAUGAUAUAUUUACAUGAAUGAUGAGAUGUAUUCCUAUGACUAAUACAACAUACUUGUAUGGAAUGCAUGAACCUAUCAAGUGCAUAUUAUAUUUUUAUAUGGAAUGCAAUGCUUAUAUUACGUUAACCUAGUGAAACUGACACUACCUUUUAUGAUGCAUAUGGGAUGGGAUACAUGUAUUACUUUAUAUGAUGUACGAAAUGCAAAAGGUGAAACAAAAUAUAAAAAAAAUUAUUUUUUAAAAGGAGAAACAAAAUAACUAGGACAUGAAAAUUGAUUUUUUGAUUGGUUAAUAAACAAAGAAUUUAAGAAAAAUCUUUAAUUUUUCUGAAAACCUUUUUUUGUUUUUUUUUUUUAGCUUGUUGGAUAAUGCUUAAAAAAAAUUACUUUAUUCUAAAAUAUUUUAUGAAAUUGUAAAAUUUGAACAAUUACCAAAUGAAUGAACUACAUGUAAAGAGAAAAUUUAUUUAUUUUUUUAGAAAAUAAUUUUUUUAUCAUCCAUUUUUGGUUAUUUCUAUAAAAAGAUCAGUAAGGCUUUACCCUAGGCUAGCUUCAUAUGGCUCACAAUAUGCUGGGUUAAGGUUUAUAUGUCUAACGAUUCCCAGGCUAUUCCUCAUAUCAUCAUCCGUUAUAAACUAAUAAGGUUCUUCGAUCUUCACCCAUUACAGGCUACUAAUGAAAAAGGUUCAAUCUGAGUAGAAGUGUUUAACUAGCAAAUACGAAGGUUAUCACCUCAUGAGAACGUAGCUACUUCACUUUCUCCUAAAAGGGAAAUAGCUCGAGUCUAGAGCUCAUGCAUGUGAGUAAAUAUGCAAAGUGUGUGCAAAGUAAUAUAUUAAUUAAAAUAACAUGAAUAAAUCAUAAACACAAAAUCAAAAUAAAGUAAUAGCUAACAAGAAAUUUAUUUUAUUUAUUAACUUGUAUGUAUAUAUUUUGAAAAAUUAAAAUAAAAAAAUUAAAUUAAAUAUCAAAUAAAACCAAUUAAAUCCAACAGUUAUUAAUAGCGCAUAAAUAAAAUUUGGCCUGACUCUUAAAGGUCCCCAGUGGAGUUGUCAAGCUUGUUGUAACUGUUUUGGGACCGUCAGAUGUAAAAGAGUUUUAAAAUCAAAGUAAAUAAAAGAGAGUCACCACCAAUCUUUUUUAGGGUGUGAUUGGCCACCCAAAAGUUUAUCUUUUUAACAAAAUUAUAAAAACGAGUAUAAAAUUUAUCAAAAAGAUAAAUUUCAAUCUACGAAAAAUCAGGUUAGGCUCGAGAGUCGGUUACACGUGGGGAAUGAUUAGUACCCCCACAAUGCCCAUAAAUUGGUACCAUUUAAUUAUGCGUUAUUUUCAGUGUUGAAUAAAAAUGGUUUCAAUUUGAAAUUUAACACUAAUUCCCUUUAUUUGAAAAAAUUAAAUUUUGCUAAAGCUCUUUAUUUAAGAAUAUUGAGAAAAAUCUUAAAGUUAAAGAAUUAUUUUAAAAUUCUCCAACAUCUAAGCAGAAUUUAAAAUAACUCUUUUCGCUUAAUAUUUAACAUGAUAAUCCUUAAAAUAAAAUAAUAAUCUUUAUAGAAAAUAAGUCUUUAUAGAAGAUAAUUGUUAGUAACUCUCUAACAUUUAGGUAGAGUACUAAGAAUUAUUUUCUUCGAAAUGUUAUUUUUAUUUUAUUUUAUAAUAUCACAAAAAAAAUUUUUAAAAUGUAUUAUUCUUUUUUAUUAUAAAAUAUUUUAUCACCAAAUAGUAAAUAAAGACUAAAGAGAGAAUAAUGAUAACAUGCUAACGUAUGUAUGUUAAUGAAUGUCAUAUAAAAAAAAUACAAUUUAAAAGUUGAGUUCUUAAGUAUAAUGAGACCACUCCGACUCUCCAACAUCUAGGCAGAGCUUAGGUGCGAUUGUUUAUAUUUAAGAUCUCAAUUUACUGUUAUACUUCUUAUUUAUUAAUCUUAUUAUUAAAGCGAAUUACGAAAUCAUGUGAAAAGACUUAACGAAGUAAAGUUUCCUAAAUAUCCCAUCAUCUAGAUGGCAUUUAGGAAUAAAUUAUUGAGAUUUUCACAAAGUCUCCUUAAAUUUUUCAAAGGUUAUGAAUAACCUUGAGUAGAGGUUUUAAAAAGUUGUUUAAGUUUAAAUAACCCUUAAAUUUUAGUUUUAAGGUUUACUUUUGUUUAAUUUGAAUAUUUAGGGUAAUUCGGUUUUAAAAAUUUUGAUUGGAUUAAGGGUUAAUUUUAAAUUGAUUUAAGAGUUUCAGGUUUGGGAUUGAAUUUUUUGUUUUGAUUUUAUUGGAUUAAGGGUUUUUUAUUUUUAGGGGUUCGAAUUUUAGGAUUUUGGAUUUUAGGGGUUUUAAAAACCUAGGAUUUUGAAAAUUAAGAAUUAGUGUUUAAGUUUUCAUUUUUAAGAAAAUACGAACAUCUCUAAAAAUCUCCAACAUCUAGUCAGAUUUUUGAAACAAGUUCGAUUUUAAUGAUUUUUGAAAAUUAAUUAAAAAUUUCUUAUAUAUUUAUUUUUAUGAAAAUUUAUUAAUAAUAAUUCUCCAACAUCCAGGCAGAAUUAUUUUUAGGAAAAUAUUUUUAUUCCCUCCAACAUCUAAGCAAGAAAAAUAAUAAAAAUUAUUAUUAUUGUUAGCAUUUUUUAAUAUAUAUUUUUAAUUAUUAUCUUACUUAUUUUUAUUUUUAUUAUUAUUAAAACAAUUAAAAAAAUUAUCUUAACAAAUUUAAGAAUUUAUCAUGCAUCAAUAUAAAAAAAAUACUUAAAAUAACAAAAAUAAUAAUAUAAAAAAUUAGAAAAUUAAAAAAAAAUAUUUUUUUACCUUAGUCGGAUCGGUCAAUGGUCCGAUCAACGAUCGAUUCAGUUGGACUGAAAAGGGGUUUGUUCAGCUUAAGGUUCAGUCCGGUUUGAUUGAAUCGACUCAGAACUGUUAGAGGAACCGGGUCAGCGAGUCAUUGUGUCACGGGUUGAGACUUAAGCUCUGAACCCGCGCGACUUUGGGACCCGGGCAUGCACUCAUCCGACGUCCCAGAUCAGCCUUCCUGCCAUGGUUCACACCUUUGUGAGGUAUUGUCUGCUCUAGCCCCUUUGGCCUUACGAUUUUGUCAUACAAAAGGUGCCUCAUAAGGAAGAGGUGGUAUGAACCCUUUUAUAUCUCAGUGACCCUCCUAUUAUGUUCGAUGUGGGAUUCAAGAUUCUUUCUUAGGUCUAUGACAUUCUCCGAGAUUCCAAGCUUAAGGUCGCACGGGUUUUGAGUCUAAGGUCGGAGCCCGUGACAAGUGGUAUCAGAGCUAGCCCUAAACCGUUCGAUCCACAUCGAGCACCUCGAGGGAGGUAGGUAGGAUGACCAGCCUCCGUGACGAGGGCGUCAUAAGGUUGGGUGAGGGAGAAUGUCACGGACCUAAGGAAGAGUCCUGAAUCUCACAUCGAACAUAAUAGGAGGAUAACUGGGGUAUAAAAGGGUUCACACCACCUCUUCCUUGUGAGGCGCCUUUUGUAGGAUAAAACCGUGAGACCAGAGGGGCCAAAGCUGACAAUACCUCACAAGGGUGUGAAUCAUAGUAAGAAGGCUGAUCUGGGAUGUCGGAUGAGUGCAUGCCCGGAUCCCAGAGCCACAUAGAUUCGGAGCUUAAGUCUCAACCCGUGACAGUUGCGUGGAUCCCGAGUUGGGUCACAGUACGCAUAGAUCCUCCCUGAUCCAGACGACGUUGUUUUGUUCUUUAUUCUGAAACGGCGUCGUUUUGGACAGCUGAAGCUAUAUAUAAACCAAGUUUUUUUUUUAGCUCAGUUUUCUUCUGUUCCCAAAAAGAAUUUUAGAGGUCUGGAGAGAGCUCGGGGAAUCCACCGGUGAUCGACCGUUGGUGUCGUGCUGUUGCAUCGAUUGUCAUCUGGGCCGUCGCUUGUGGUCAAAAAAUUUUGAAAUCCUCAUGAAAGCUCUAUUUGAAGUGAUCUUUUCGGAUCCGAUCUCUUUUUCGUUAGAAACCCCAAUCUGCGUAGAUCGGGGUUCAAAGUUUUCUAUUCUCCUUUUAAAAAAAAAAAAAAUUGAAGCUGAUAAUGAUUUUUUUAUUUUUUGCAGGUAGCUUGGCACUGGGUUCCUCGCCUAGCAAGGAUUGUGUUUUUUUUGUGUUUUGAUUUUUGGUGGGUAAGGGGUUUCUGGUGGGCGAGGUGUUGAUUGGGGUUAGGAAUAGCAGUGUGUCUGUAUGGGUUUCUUUGGUGGUGACUAUUGGUUUGAAUGCUUCCAGAGAGACUGCAAGGAAUGAGAUCUGGUACUUUAUAGGGUUGGGAUGGUGGUAGCAGGUUGAGCGUGCGCCUGGCAAGGAAUGGGUGGUGAUUCUAGGCAGUUAGAGCCGGUGAGGUGCAGGGUAUGGUAAGGGGACAGGCCAGGGGUGGGUGGCCAGUGGUGCCGUGUAAGGCACCACUGUCAUAUCAAUUUUUUGGUUCUGUUGUUGUUUUUUUUUUGUAUUUUAUAUUUUAUAUUAUUUUUUUAAUAAUUAAAAAUUAAUAAAAUUUUAAUUUUAAUUAAAUCAAUAUUAUUAUUAAUAAAUAAAAAUUGAAAAUAAUAGAUCCGAACAAAACUAGUGUCUACACUUAUAAAUGAAGAUUCUAUAUAAAUUUUUUUUAAACCCCGUAUAAUUUUAAAUUAUGAUUAAGUAAUUAUAAUAUAAAUAUUGUAAGUUAUAUGCUCAUCUAUGUGAUAUGAAUAUUAUUUUAUAGUAAAAUAUUUGUUUUAGAAAGAUAUUGAUAGAAAAAUUGCUGGAAGUUGGACUGCGUCUACGUACAGACUAGGAGAAAGGGAUAGAGAUAGUGUAGUGAGCUUGAGAGGGGCACUGAAAGAUGGACCAAUCAUACAUGGCAUUGCUGUGAAAAGGGUUAGUUGAAAAUCACGGCUCUCUAACACAUGGAAAGUCGAAUUUCGAACCAACCAUAUUGAACGUGGACAGCAUUUCCUUGUAUUAUUACUAGGCAUUUUUCACUUCGUUAGCUUUUUUUCUUUUUUUUCCAAGUCAAGUUCAUUUUUACGGGGAGUACAUGUAUGGACAUAACGUUCCCAAUACCCAUAAUUUAACCGACAUGCACCCUAAAAUGAGACAGUACAAUAGCAUACAAUUCACAAUUCAAACAGUAUCCUGACCUUGCUUAGAACUUUCCUCAAUCCCCUUCCACCAAGCCAUAAACAUUUAUUUCACAUGCAUAUGUAAAUACACAUGAAAUGAAUGAAAUUAUUCCAUGCAUGACACAGGUUACAAUCUAAUUCUUUAACUAAUUAACAAGUUUUCUUAUUAAUAUGUUCUUCAUGUACAAAAUCCAUUAUGUCUAAUGCAUAGACUGUAUCAAAAAGCCAUUAGAACAUAUUAUUUAGGCGAUUUUGGCGUACUAGAUAAAAAUAAUUUAAGUUUAAAUUUUGUUAAUUCGAAAAGAAACUUUAGCCUCUAGAUCCAAUUGAAUAUUAUGCAAUUGUUAAGAUUUGAGAAAGAAAAAUUUUGCUUACAUUGGUUUUGAAAUUAAUUAAGUUUACGUGAAAAAAAAAUAGAAAGGAUUGUAAAUAGAAAACUUGCACAGCCAGCUUGCAGCAGUAGCAUGCAAAUUUUGGUUGUGGUGGUGACCGGUGACCGGUGAGCACUGAGCACCUUCAAUUAGAUUUUGCCACACAACCUGAAUAUGGAAAGGCUUUGAGAGGUUUGAAGUUUGAACCCCCAGUGGUAUCUAAGUGCAACAAUACUUGGUCUAUAUUUAGAAGCAAGAAAUCAAUUAAUGUUGAGAGCUGGUUGAUGACCAAGUAAGACCUAAAAGUUGACAAACAAAAUGAUCCAAAAGCUUCCAUAAAUCACGGUAUUAUCAACCUGAAUUACCAUUAUACAGGGGUUGGUCGGCCUUAUCUACACUCAACGACCAUCAAGUAAUUAGAUUAUUGAAUUUGAAGCUUGUUAGAAGAAGGCAGUGAAAAAAAGCAUGGCAUAAAGCCAUAAACAUUCGUUCUAUGAGGUAUCAAUAACUAACAGAUUGAUGAAGGUAAGACUAUGGAUAGAUUUGUGGGCAAGUGAACAAGUGAUUUUUUUCGCUUGCAUACUUAAUUACUGAUUAUACUGGUUUUUUAAUUAUACAUGUUUGAAGAGUUAUUGAUGGUAUUUUGCUCUUGUUCAAGAAGAAUAUUAAAUCUAUGUUGCUUUUGAAUUGGAGUGUAGGUGAAUUGAACCCCUUAGUAGAUUUAUGUUAGAUGAUCUCGUCUUGAACUCUGUCAAAUAUUUUAUUAGUUGUUUAUUAUAUGUUUAGCUGGGGAAAUAUCUGUAAGUUAUUGAUAGCUUAUUUAUCGAAUGUUUAUGGCUUUAUGGAAUGCUCUUUGUUCACUGCUUCUCUAUAAGAAGCAAUCUACAAGCUUCAAAUUCAAUAAUCCAAUUACUCUGGUUAUGAAAGGAAACUUGAUCAUGAUCAUUUAUUAAGGAUGGCUUUUUGGUGAUUGUUCCUAAUUAGCCAUGACUUAAUUUUGGGAAUUAAGUUGGUGUUGACAUUGAGCUUUGUUCUGAUUCUCUUGAAUCUUGCUUUGUGAAUUUGGUGAAUUUAUUUGGAUGAGAAUGCUAUAUUCAGGCAUGAUGUCUAGUACUACGAGUGGAUGCAUGUUUUUUAUGUUAUAAAUUGGUUGCUGCUGCCUGGUUGAGAAUAAUUGCUUCUUGUUGAUUCUAUGCAAAAUCUUGAGCUAUUAUGUUUUUUGUUUAGGAAAAGGGAAAUAUGCUCUUGUUUUAGGUGCUGCCAGUGUUCACAUAUCAAUUGAAUAAUUAAUUUCAUUGGUUUUGUUGUUACAGAUGUUUGAAGAUUUCAUGGAGCCAUGCAUUUAGCGGAAGUUAAGCAAUAUUAUAUUAUUUUGAAUGAAACUAAUGCAGAUAUUUUUAUUUUAUAAUUUGGAUACUAUAUUAUUAAUUGUUAGAUAUACGGUGCAAAGGCGUCUAAAUUUCCUAUGGUAUUUUAUAACUAGAAUGAUAUUACUGACCGAUCAUGUCAAUUGUUUUUGCUCGUUAAUUCUGCUUCUUAUUUAUGAUUUAGCCCUGAUGAUUUUUUAGAUGUAGAAAUUUGGAUUAAUGUCUCUUCUGUGCUCAUUUUCUAAUUGCAAGCUAUAUCAAUGAAUUUGCUAAUUGUUAUUUUGGUAGUUUAUUCACCCCCAUAAAAAUACGUUUCAAAAAAUGAGUGAGGUUUCCAUCCUAACAUUCUGCUUUUGUUUUUUACCCAAAUUUGCCCACAGCUAUUCAUCAUUUUAAAUUUAUACGUCUAAAAGACUAAAACCAACUACUAUUUAUUUAAAUUAAAAAAAUAAUAUUUUUACAAAUAUUAUAUUAAAACUAAAAUUAUUGAAUUAAUUCAUUUAUUUGUUAAAUUGAAAUCUAAUAUCAAGAACAAUAAUUUAAUGUUGAAUUGAAAGAAAUUAUUAAUGAGUUGUAUUAGAAUUCGAAUGAGCAUAAAUUCGUUUAUGUUUUUAUAGAUUUGGGGUUGUAUUUUUAGCUUUGGCCCUAAGAAAGUUGAUAAAACUAUGAAAGAAAACUAUACAUACAAAUUUGGGGGGUUGAUUACGGUUUUAUGAUGUCUCCACAAAGUGGGUAAAUUUAUCGCUGUGAUUAAGGUAGUUGAAAUUCAAAUAAACCAUUUUGAUUAGAAAAACUAUAAUAUCAUCAGUGUAUUUGUAUACCUUAGUAUUGAACCUAAAACCUGAAAUUAUUGUAUAAAAGAUAAAGAAUAUAGUUUAUAUUUGAUACGUAAGAUGAAUUAUCUUAUAUUAUAUUUUAUUCGUAUUUAAGAAAAAAAAGAUAAAAUUAUAAAAAAGAUUAACCAUUCUCUUGAUAUGGGAUGAUUCAAUCAUUUCAAAGUAAAAAUAAUUAUUUUUAAUUUAUGUGAUUAAACUUAUAUAUCUUAUUAUAAUUUUAAAAAUUAUAUCAAUAAUUUAAAUUAUAUAAACUUUGAGAAAAAAUAAUUUUUAUUAAUAAAUAAAUUAUCUUAUUAUAAUCAUUAUUCAUAUCAAAUAUAAAAUAAAAUAAAAUAAUUUAAUUUAACCAUAAUUUAUAAUAUUAUUUUAUUAAUUUAUUAUAAUUUUGUGUAUUAAAUACAUCAAUAGUUUAUUACACUGAAACUCAUACAUAAGCUUUAAGUGCAAUGUGCUUCCGCGGUAAUCCUAUGAAAAAUACAUAAUAAUCCAAGCUGAUAUAUUAUAUCAAUAAUUUUUUUUCUCAAAAUUUUUUAUUUUAAAAACUCAACUUUUGGUCAAUAUUAUUUAUUUAUUUUUACUCGAACCGUUAAAAGAUGUUAAGAGCCAAGCAUUCAACGUCACCACAGUCCACACCUUGGUUAAAUGGUAUAUAAUUAUGCCAAAAACUUAGAGGUGAAUAAAAUAUUAUCUUUUAUAAUUGAGUAAUCAAAAACAAAAAUUCUCAAAUGUUCGAUAAUCAUAAAGAAAAUUUCCUCUAAAUUAUAUCAUUAACAAAUUAUUUUUAAUUAAAUUAAUAAUUAAUUAGCAUAUCCAAAUUAUUAAGAAAAAAAAAUCUACAUGUAUAUUUCUUCCCACGUCGAAUUCCAAAUUAAAUAUAUCAAUAUCAAUUUCAAACUUUAAUUAUUACUAUAUUUUCAAGAAAUGAGUCUUUAAUGUAUUUAAAUUUGUUUAAAUUUUAAUGGUUAGAGACACAAAAUUGAAAAUUUAAAAAUUAGAAAAAUAAUGUGUAUGAAAUAGGAAAGGAUUAUCAAUCUCGGUGUGACUAUUUUUGAGAGACUUUAUGCACCAUGAUUAUAUAGAUAAUUAAAAUUGUAUUUAAUACUACAUAAUGAUUGAUUUUAAGAUAUAUUUUAGGUGAAAGGAUAAAUUGUAAAUCUUGAUUUAUAAUUUCUAUCAAAUAUAUGAUUGUUCAAGUGAUUUUUUAAGAAAUAAAAACUAAUUUUCAUUAAAAAAAAAUUAAUAGAUGAAAAUUUUAAUUAUUAAUUUAUUUGAAAUCAUUUUUUAAAAAAUAGGUUUUAAUACCUAUAUAUACUUUGUCCACGAUUCUCUUUUUGUUUUGUUCAGUUCAUAAGAUAAUCUUUUAUAGGUUUGGAUAGAUAUCCGUUUCAUUCGUGAAUCGUGAUCUAACCUACCUCUUCAAUUAUCAUGGCUUCCUCUCCGCCGGUCCCCAUGGAGGAGCAACCACAAACUACGGAGGAGCGACCACCACCUGAGAAGAAACAGAAACAAGAAGACGAUUAUUUUAUGACAUAUUUUGACGAUGAGACCGAUGCGGAAGAAAGCAGCGAAUCGGAUGGUUGCGAAGGCGAGGAAUUUCGUGAGAUGACGGAUGCGGAGGAAAAAACCUUUUUAGCUGCUUUCAAAUAGAGUGGUGUAAGCCUAUUUCUGCAAAACAUAAGUUUCAUAUACAGGUAUUCUAUAUUUAUUCAUUUUUCCUUUUUGGGUUUUUGAAGGGAUUUGAUGUUCCUUCUUUUCCUGGGGUUUAUUACAACGACCUAAUUACGCCCAUGAAUAUGAGUAAAGGUGGGCCAUAAUAUCUCUUCCGUUAUUCCGUGGCAGGGAUCGGAUUUUUUUUCUAAAACUCACCUGCAUCUUAGAAUCUUGAUUUUUUUUUCUGUUUUGCUCCUUUAUCUUUUUUUUUUUUUUUUUACUCAUUUCCUGGGUUCAAUUUUGUAGAUCAUGCCGUUAGAUAUAGAAAAGGCAGAACCGAUUCUCAUUCCUAAUGGUUAUCCGGUACACGUGGAUUGGAGGAAGAAAAGGAUACUGCACUUGAGAAAUCAAGGAAAAAUGCGUAAGUUCAAAUUUGCAAUUAUUUUUUUAUUUUACAUAAUUCAAUACGUUUUUAUAUUUGCAUAUAUGAUAGUAUUUUUUUUUUAACAGAAUCUUGUUGGGCCAUGACAACAGUUUCUCUAUUAGAAUCUGUUUGGUCCCUCAAAUUUAACAAGGCUCCGUCUCUUCUAUCACCACAAAUGUUAGUAGAUUGUAUUCAAGAAAAUUCAGACGAACUUGAAGGUAGACGAGACUGCUAUAAGUAUAGUGUUGUAAAAGCACUUGAAUGGUUGAAGAAAAAUGAGGUUUAUGGGGAAAUUGAUUAUCCCUACGUGAAAAGUUGGGGAAAAUGUCUUGCUAGCUCCAUUACCGUAAGCAUCAAUGUGUUUUUGUUUUUAUUCAAAACAAAUAUAUGAAUUGUAAUAUUGUAUCAACGUUUUUUUUUAUUGUUUUUUUCAGCCAACUGUGCGUGUGAAGAUCGAGAAUUACCGUACUAUAGUUGGUGAGGAUAGGAGCCAGAUUCUCAUGAAAGUUGCACGUCGACCCGUUGCUGUCCUGAUUGAAGCAUAUCAGGAAUUUAUAUAUCUAAAAGAUGUAAGUAAUUUUAGAUUGUUUUAUAUUUUUCAAAUGCUUUUAAAUAAUUAGAUUUACAUUUUUUUUAACAUCACUACAUGAUUGUCUCUAAUUUUUCUUGUUGUUGUUUCUUACCAUGGAAGGAAAUCUAUGAAGGUCCAGAAAAGGAAACUGACGAGCCACCUCCUUUGCAUGCAAUCAUUAUUGUUGGUUAUGGUACAGAGGGACAGGGUGCGGAUGCAAAAAAUUAUUGGUUGGUUAUGAAUUCUUGGGGAUCUGAUUGGGGAGUAGAGGGAUUUGGACGGGUUUGCAGAGAUACUACGGUAGAUGAAAAGUUUUUGCUUACACGAAUCGCUUAUCCUAUAUUUGAUGAGGAGAAAAACCAGAAAUGAACCAUAUGUUUGAGACUUAAUAUCCUUUGUUAUUAGUGUUAUUGAGAUUUUAUAUUACACAUUACAGUUGCUUAGUUUGAUAUUACAAAAGAGUUAUAUGGGCUUAAUAUUUUAUAAUAUCAACUUUUUGAUCAUUUUAUUCUAGUUUUUAUUGCGAAAAUAACAAUCAUUUCAGCUGUGAAUUAAUUAAAUUUUCGUAUAAAUUCAAAACUUUCUACACCAUGAUUAUAGGUAAUUGAGAUUAUAUUUAAUAUUGUAAAUAACACUGUAUAAUUGUUGAUUUUUUGAUAAAAUUGGAAAGGAAAACAAAUUGGACAUAGUAAGAGCUUUUAUUUCAAUACUGAUAUAGAUAAUAUAUAUAUAUAUAUAUAUAUAAUAAAUUAAAAUUUGGCACAUUCAUUAUGAUAAGCAUGUUGUUCUUUUUUCUUUUUUUUUUUAAAGAAUAAUUUUAAAAAGUUAUGUAGCUAGUUUUUCUAUAUAAAAAAAGUUUCUGUAACUUCUCAAUUUUUUUUUAAAAUUUGAAAAGACAUAUUUUUUUAUUUUAUAUUUUUUUAUAUUUGAUUUUUAUGUAAAUAAGCAAGUCUAUGUCUCGCUUAUCUAACGCACGUAUAGUUUCAACUUGUUUCUUUUUUUUUACAUAUGGAUAUUAUAAUAUCAGUUUCAUUUUUGUCACGUUUAGAUUUUUUAAUUGCUAUGUCAGUUAUUUUAUAUGUCAUCAAAGUUUACUUAAUAAUAUUUAAUUUCACAUUAACUUAUAUUUUAAUUAUUCAUGAAUUUAGAAAUUUAAAAAUUUCUAUAUUCUUAAACUCAAUUAAUUAUAGAUAAAUGUGCUUUAUAUUCUGUGUCAUUUAAAAGUUUAAAUUUAAAUUCAUAUUUACUAUUAAUUAAUUAUGAAUCAAAUUUAAUUAUUUAUAAAUUUAAUUAAUUAAAAAUAAAUAUACUUAACUUUAAUACAAUUUAAAUUAAAUAUCUUUAUUAAAUAAUAUAAAUAUAUAAAAAUCAAAUCAUGCUAAUCAUUAUUUACUUCACUCAAUAACACAAAUUACAUUGCCUAUAAAUUAUUCCCUACAGAAACGCUAAAGAAUAAAAGUAAACUAUAACCGGCAGCAAUGGAUGUGAGACUAGUUUUUUUUUUGUUAGUUUCAUUACUUUUUUCCUUUCACUCACCUAAUAAGUGCGUCAAAAUCUAAUUUCUUUCAUGUCGAAAAAUCAAUGAAUUUGUUAGAGAAAACAGAAAAUACUUGCCCGACAAGAAAAAGGAAAUAAAAAUAAAAAUGAACGACACGUGAUGUGAUGACAAUGACGGUUCGAUCGUUAAGAAAAUGGUGGGACCGGGUCCAUUCCUACGCGGACGGUUAAGAUCUAAUCUCGAAAUUGUACGCACAUCAGGUGCUACUUAUUAUCCCUCCCUCAGACUCGGUUAUUUUAGGGUUAGGAUUCCGUCUCAUUCGUGAUCUAACCAACUUCUGCAAUUCUCAUGGCUUCCGUUCCACCUCUCCCCAUGGAGGAGCAACCACCAACUACGGAGGAGCGACCAUCAAGUGAGAAGAAACAGGAACAAGAACACGAUUAUUUUCUGUCUCAUUUUGACGAAGAUACCGAUGAGGAAGAAAGCAGCCAGUCCGGUACUUGCGAAGCCGAGGAAUUUCGUGAGAUGACGGAUGCGGAGCAAAAAGCCUUUUCAGCUGCUUUCAAAGAGAGUGGUGUAAGCCUAUUUCUGCAAAAUUUAAGUUUCAUAUACAUAUAUUCUAUAUUUAUUAAGUUUACCUUGUAGGGAUUUGAUGUUCCUCCUUUUCCUGGGGUUUAUUACAACGACCUAAUUACGCCCAUGAAUAUGAGUAAAGGUGGGCCGGAAUAUCUAUUCCGUUAUUCCGUGGCAGGGAUCGGCCGAUAUAAUGAAGAACAUGUUGGUUUGGUUUUUUUUUUUUUUUCUUGUUUUCUUUAUCUUUUUUCCGGUGAUAUAAUUUUGACUGAUAUUUUUAAUGUUUUCAGGGAACCAACUAUGAGGUAGUCCGAGUGGAAAAGUGCAUGCAACAGGCUGCUCGCGGUAUUAAGUACUACAUAACCUUCCAUGCCAAGAAUAAGAUUGCUUCAGAGCAUGGCAGUGAUACUCCUAAAGCUGCUGAUGAUAGUAGCGAUAAAACUGAAAUCUUUGAGGCUUUGGUCUUGUUCGGUAUUCCAAAGGACAAAAAGGAUGAACCAAUCGAUGUGAUCUUUUGUAGGCUAAAGGGUACCAGGCCAGGUACUAAUGUUUUUCAUUAAUGCAAUUACUUUUAAAAAAAAAAAAAAAAAAAAAAUCCGUACUUGGUUAUUGAUGAAUUAUCACUUUUAUAUUCUACUUGAAUAUCCGAUUGUUAGCAUACAUUACACUAGUUUAAGGGAUAUGUUUGGUGAUCCUUAUCUACAAGGAAUACUCCGUAAAUUUAAACCCAGUUGUGCACUUCAUCUGUUUUGUGAUGAACAGAUAUAUCAUUUGCAUUUACUGGCUUAAUUAUAGAUAUGUCGUGAAUAGCAACUACUUACUAUGAUGAAGGAUUUGUGAACUUUUUAACGAAUGACUUAAUUGUGAUUGCCAUAUACAGUGUGUUGUGUUUUCAUGUUGGGGAGUUUGUUGGUCUGCAGUUGAGAAUUGCUUGUGUGUUGUUUGAUAUUUUGCAUGACUGUCAUGUUUUGUUUAUUGGGUUACCUUUACUUAAGGUUUUGGAUAUCUAGUUAUCUAGGGUAAGUGCUGGCUUUUGAUGAGCUUAAUGAAUGGCUACCCAUUUUUAGCUAGAGGUUUUACCGCUGUAGAGUAGUAGUAAUAUAAAGGCAAGGUUUAGGACUUCUUUAUGAUCUUGGUGGAACGACAGAGACUAACCCUAUAUUUAGUUUUAGAUAAGGAAGUAAAAUGCAAGUUCAGGUGAGUGUGUUCUAUUGGUCAGAAAAUUUUUUAUUUUAGGGUGCUGCCCAUGUUCACAUAUAUAUACAAUCACAAUUAAUUUAAUUUAUUGGUUGUGUUGAUGUAGAUCUUUGAAAAUUUUGUGGAGGCGUUCAGCUGGUGGGUGAGAAGAGCACCAGAAGUUGAGCACGUCAUCUUGUUAAUGCUUCUUAUUUUAUAAUUUGAACCUCUAUCUAGAAUGUUUAUGUGUUAAGCGAUCUAAACUCAUCCGACGCUUUCGCUUACCGACUACAGUACUGUUGAUUAUAUAACUUUGUGCUGCUUCUAUGUUUAAUGAUUUAGCUAUGAAAACCACAUUAUCCUAAUUUCUUAUACUCAGCUUUAGGUGAGUUAGGGAACUUUUAUUCUGCUGUCACAGUGUUCAUGGCCCAUUUUCGCCCCAAAAGCUCUCGACGAGCUGUAUACGAAAUUAACAUCUAUAUAUCUAGUAGAAUGAAAUUUACGUCUGUAUUAUAUCUAGUUAUCUGUACAAUGGAUCAUAUAAGUGAGAGAACCGUUUUGCUACUGAUUCAGCGCCAGCACCAUUGGUUUAUACAAGACUUAAAGCUUUUUUCUGGUUUAAGCAUCUUCUGCAUGAAUUGCUGUUCUGUUUCCUGGACCAUAAAAUGUCCAUUGGCUGGGCCUGGGAUGAUCAAGUUGAACCUCCUUUGAGCCUAGGCCUAGAAGAUUUAGCGCAAAUCAGCCUAUAAAAUGUAUAAAUCAGACAAAAAAAAAAAUCAUUUAGUCACCAAUUCAGUGAGAAUAUAAAAGUAAACAAAUAAAAUCAAGCGUAACUAAGUUGUUUGAAGUUUGAAAUCGGUUCUCAUUGUCAUGGAUUUGAUUCUUCACCAACAUUUAAAGAUUUUGCAUGUAUUGUCUGAUUUAGUUUCUGUUGGUUAAUUAAGUUUGAUCGAUAAUGCAAAAUCUUAGGGGAGGAGAAUGCCACGUGUGCAUUCAAGAAAUCAGGACACACCAUAUGUACAAAACCCAAUCCAAAUUUCAAGCCAAAAUUACAAAUGCUGGCAAUUACUGUUAUUCAUGCACACUGGAUCCAUUUGCCAAAUAUUUUAUCUGGAAUUUGCCCCGUUAAAACCACUCAUGUGAAAUGUGGUUGUCUGUUGAUCCUUACGGUUGGGCAUUUGCGCAUUGUCAAGUCCACACAUUAAUAUAAAAAUUUUAAUUAACAAUGUAAAUUGGUUCGGUUUGAUUUCUGAUUUGGUUUCUUAUUUAAUAAUGUAAAUUAAAACAUGAAAAAAAAUCACUCUCUAAACUUUAAUUAAAGAAUGAAUCUCACCCAUUUAACCUCAUAAAUUAUGGGUUGAGACAGCAAAAAAUCAAGUAUGAAUAAAUAAAAAUGACUAUGAAAUUGAACCAAUACACAAAAUGAGGCAGAAAAGAAAAAAAGAACAUAUAUAUACACACAACAAAAAAAUAUACAACAUGAAAAAUCUUAGAAAAAAAGAAAAAAAUAUAUAUAUAUAUAUAUAUACACAACAAAAAAAAUAUACAAAAUGAAAAAUCUUAAGGAAUGAGCUGUCACGUGUUGAUUUUUGAGAAAAAAUUGAUAGAGUUAGAAUUUUAGCAUAUAAUUAACUUUUCAAAUGAAAUCUUAAAAUGAAGAGAAUUAUAUAUUUUUAAAAUAUAAACUUAUAUAGAAAAAAAACUUGUACAAAUAAAAUAAUUAAAUAUUUACAUAAUAUAAAUAUAACUAUCAUUAAUUUUGCAGUUUUCAAAAAUAAAUCAAUCCAAAUCAAGUUAAUCAAUUUUUAUUGCAGUCCAAGAAUUAAAAAAAAAUUAUAAGUGUUAAAAUUUAAAUAUAAAUUAUUAUUUUUUAAAAAUAAUUAUAUAAAAUAAGUAAAAUAAACUUCUGGUUCAUCAAUAUUUGAUUUUAACCAAAUAACGUUCAAUGUUACAUUUAAAUGAUAGGUGAUAAGUUAAAAUAAAAUGAAGUAGCUAAUUCUUAUCAUAUAAACUAAUUAAAAAAAGUGAAACAUCAUAAUUAUUUUCCUUUGAUAGAAAAGGGUGAAGAUUAAGCAUAUAGUAGUUUUUAGAUUAACAAAAAUGACCAAAAAAAGUUUGGCAUCAAUUUGGUCAUGGAAUGUGAUAGAUCAUAUAAUCCUACAUAUAUAUUAUUUUUAAUUUUAUGAAUCAACAUUUUUAUGUGGUGGUGGUUAUAAAAAAUGCGAGGAAAUUGAAAAAGAAAAAACAAACUUGACCAACAAGAAGUCUAAACAAAAUCUGUUGUGGACAUACAUUUGUGAUUGUUACCCAUUGCCAUGGCCUUUUGCUUUGUACUUUGAUUAUUAUUCAAAUUUGAAAUUGUAAUUUCUGUAUAUUAUCUUAUGUUGCAUCAUGAUCAACAUACACUUGAUUAUUAUUGAUAAAGGAUACUGCACUUGAGAAAUCAAGGAAAAAUGCGUAAGUUCAAAUUUGCAAUUAUUUUUUUUAUUUUACAUAAUUCAAUACAUUUUUAUAUUUGCAUAUAUGAUAGUAUUUUUUUUUUUAACAGAAUCUUGUUGGGCCAUGACAACAGUUUCUCUAUUAGAAUCUGUUUGGUCCCUCAAAUUUAACAAGGCUCCGUCUCUUCUAUCACCACAAAUGUUAGUAGAUUGUAUUCAAGAAAAUUCAGACGAACUUGAAGGUAGACGAGACUGCUAUCAGCAUAGUGUUGUAAAAGCACUUGAAUGGUUGAAGAAAAAUGAGGUUUAUGGGGAAAUUGAUUAUCUCUACGUGAAAAGUUAGGGAAAAUGUCGUGCUAGCUCCAUUACCGUAAGCAUCAAUGUGUUUUUGUUUUUAUUCAAAACAAAUAUAUGAAUUGUAAUAUUGUAUCAACGUUUUUUUUAUUGUUUUUUUCAGCCAACUGUGCGUGUGAAGAUCGAGAAUUACCGUACUAUAGUUGGUGAGGAUAAGAGUCAGAUUCUCAUGAAAGUUGCACGUCGACACGUUGCUGCCGUGACUGAAGCAUAUCAGGAAUUUAUAUAUCUAAAAUAUGUAAGUAAUUUUAGAUUGUUUUAUAUUUGUCAAAUGCUUUUAAAUAAUUAGAUUUACAUUUUUUUUAACAUCACUACAUGAUUGUCUCUAAUUUUUCUUUUUGUUAUUUCUUACCAUGGAAGGAAAUCUAUGAAGGUCCAGAAAAGGAAACUGACGAGCCACCUCCUUUGCAUGCAAUCCUUAUUGUUGGUUAUGGUACAGAGGGACAGGGUGCGGAUGCAAAAAAUUAUUGGUUGGUUAUUAGGGUUUACUAGUAUGCUACACAAAUAUUAUAUUACUAUGGUAUUAUACAGUUUAUCUAAUCUAAUGGUUGAGUUUGAAAACUAUCCAAAUUAUGAUAUAUAUAUAUAUAUAUAUGUCUUUUUACCAAUUAAUUCUUCUGGUUUGUGAAUCUAAAGCUUGUUCAAAAGCAAUGAUCAUGUACACAUCAUGUUGUAUGGUUUAUAUAUUAAUAUAAAAAUACCAAUCGAUAAAACCAUCGCUCAUUCCACAUUUGCAAAAUAGGAAAGCUGUUACUGUUUUCGUUACAUGAUUGUUUCAUUAUCAUUCAAUAAUUUAUUUAUUAAUUAAAAGAAACCCUAUUCAAUUAAACUUACCCAUUUUAAAGAAUCAUUUAUAAUUUAAUACAUUGUUUUUUUUUCAAUUAAACAACAAUCCAUUAAUUAUGCUUUUUAAUUUAAAUAUCACCAUUAACAUAUUAAUACAUUGUUCUUUUUCAAUUAAAAAACAAUACAUUAAUUAUACUUUUUAAUUUAAAUAUCAUUGUUGACAUAUGUAAAUAUAUGCUUCUUCUAUUUUUCUCACACACAUAUAUAUUAUUUAUUGAAGAAUUUAGUAUUGCGAAAACAUGUAAUGGAUGCAUUUCACUUAUAAAUUUUUUAUUAUACUUUUACAAUUAUCUAAUCACAAUAAAUAAUUACGUUUAAAUUCAUCACUUAUAAAUAAAGAUUCUAUAUAAAGUUUUUUUUAAACCCCAUAUAAUUUUAAAUUAUGAUUAAGUAAUUAUAAUAUAAAUAUUGUAAGUUAUAUGCUCAUCUAUGUGAUAUGAAUAUUAUUUUAUAGUAAAAUAUUUUUUAAAAAUAUAUAUUAAUAGAAAAAUUGCUAGAAGUUGGACUGCGUGAUGAAAAAUUGCUAGAAGUCAGGAUUUCGUAAGGGUUUGGCUCGACUCAUGAGGAUAGACAAAGAAGUUGUGGAUUCUCAUACAAAGUAAAAAACAAGAACAGGUUUGCCUACCUUGAAAGUUCUUUCAUGAGUUUCUAGUGCAACAUGCCAACGAAGAACGUGGGUUAGAUGUAUUCAUCUUAGCUAUAUACGAAAUGGUGAUAUUUCUAAAAGUUUUGGGUUUUAUUGAAAUAGCGGUGGUUGACUUCUUCGAGAGUGUGAUCAAUGGUUGUAACCCUUCAAUGGUAAUAUUAGCAGAGACUAUCAGAUCUUUGAGUUACUGUCGUCGGAAUGGAGGGUGUUUUAUAGGCUGUAUACAAUUAUUAUACUUAUGGAUGAAAAGUCACUUCGAAUGGAGAAAAUGUGCUUUCUCGAAGCUUUAUGUCCACAAUCAAACUUCGAUCAAGGAAUUCUGUGAAAGUGAGUGGUCAGAACAAAAGUCUAAAAAGAAGUGGAUAGCUUUCCUACAAAAAUUGACUAGUGCCAAAGUAAGAUGGUUGGUUCCGUGGAUGAAUCGUGAACUUAUGUUGUAUCAAUGUGGAGAUAAUAUUGUGGUCUCACUUUUGGGUUUAUGAGGAACAACAAGUUAUGCACCACUCCUAGUGAGAAGGCAGUUUGGGGCAGAAUAGUUCAUUCUUAUGACGCAUGGAUUCAUCAGUUAAAUUUCUCUUACAAUGAGUCAAAAGCAUUUCAGAGGAUGAAUGAGAUGAUUAAAGUGUGGAAAAACUCCUGAAGAGUGAGUCUUAGAUCGUUCACUGAUAAAGUCAUUCUAGGGUAUUUACUUUGGAGAGCAAGACGAAGACAGGAAAUGAUAUUCACUUAUGAAAGCUUUCAACCGCCAAUAGGAGGAAAGCUUGAAGAGACACCAUCAGAAUUAGAGCUUGUGAUAAAAGAAUUUAAGUUUGAAAAGGAUAAGUUAAAGCAAAAAAUCCAGAAGCUUCGAGAAGAAAAAGAUUAGUGGAAAGAUAGAGCUGAAAGACAUGAAGCCAGAGUUUGCAAGAUUGCUAGAGAAUGUGAUACAGCUGUUGAAAACCUAGCAGAGCUACACCAAGAACAUAAAAGGUUAUGUGUGAGAGAAAGGGCCAAAGAGAUAACAAUUGUUAAGCUGACUGAAGAGAAUGCAAGAUUGAAACAGGAAUAUGCUGAAUUGAAAGAAGAAAGUACCCAAGUACAGAUAAAGAAUAACAUGUUGAAUAGCUACUUAAGCAGGUUGAGAUAAAAGUUGAAUGAACAAGAAGAUCAUAUUGCUGCAUUGGUUAGAGAGCAUAGAGAGUUAUCAUACCAAGUCUGCUAUGAUAAAAUAGAUAACUUAAGAAGAUAGAAGUACAUUGAGCACCUGACGACCCAAAUUUCUAAAGGGGUAUGCAAGGCAAGAGAGAUGGUAGAAGAAGCAGAGGUAUUAAAACAAGAGGUGGCCCUAGUAGGAGAAAAUGGGUAACUUCUAUUAAACUUCAUCGAUGAAGCAAAGGCCUAGUAUGAGCAGAUCAAAUGACUUUAUGGUUAUAACUCUAAGAUGAUAACUCAAUGUAAAUAAAAGUUCUUUGGAAUAAAUGAAAUUUUUUAGCAUCGUCUUAAGGCAAAUAUUCUUUGCAUACCUGUAUUUUCAUUUAUUGCAUUCUCACUCAUUACACUUAACAAAGUAACAUGAGAUAGUCGUAUAAAUUUAAUAAUUCUAAGAUACGGUAUUCAAGGUUCAAGGAUAGCUUCAUCUAGCAAAAACUUUAUCUAUCGAUAUAACACAAAAGCUAGAACCAGAUAAAUGGAGCAAAAAAACUCUCACAGAUUUGAAAAGCUGAAAAAAACAUGAGAAAAUAUUAAGAAUGAGUUGAAAAAAAUUCUAGAUGCCCUCAAUAAGCUAAACAUGGAAAAAGAAAUAGAAGAAAAUACAAGCCAAGAAGGCCCUCCAUCACAAGAAAUGGUCGAUCUUUUGUAUUCUUCAAGUUUUGGUCCAUAACAAGCCCAACCCACACAGGAUAUUCCACCACAACAGUUCACAUAUCCUGUAUACCCUAAAAUACCAUCAGCCUCGAAUCCAUGACAUUAUCAUAGCUAUGUAAAUUCUGUCUUUACUAAAAUGGUAAUAGAACCGAUUCAAGUUCCUGAUCUAAAUGACUCGAAAAAGAAAGAGAAAAAAAAAAGUAAAAGUGAUGGAGUCUCAAGAAGAUUCAAAGAUUAGUAUGCUUAAACAAAAAUUACGGGUCAUAAAAAAGAUUGAAUUUUAUGGUUCUGUUGAUGCUGCUAGGCUGUGCGUAGUCUCAAAUAUAGUCAUUUCACUAAAAUUUAAAGUAUCAAAAUUUGAGAAAUAUGAUGGUACGAAAUACCUAAAAACUCAUAUUACCAUGUACUGUCAGAAGAUGACAGCCCAUGUCUAUAAUGAAAAACUAUUAAUGGACGUUUUUUAAAAUAGCCUUAUAUGCUCUACUGUCAUGUGGUAUGUCCAGCUGGACAGAACCCAUAUUCGUUCUUAGAGUGAUAUGACUAAUAAUUUCAUUAAUCAAUAUCGGUUUAUUAUGGAUCUGGCUCCUGAUCGUUUGUCUUUAUAGAACCUGAAAAAAAAAAGGUAAAUGAGUCUUUUAAAGAAUAUGCCCAGAGAUAGAAGGACGUAGCUUCUCAAGUACAACCCCAUCUAACUGAGAAAGAGAUUACAGUGUUAUUUCUUAGCACUUUAAAAUCUUCUUAUUAUGAAAAAAAGAUAAGGAAUGCAACAAAAAAUUUUACUAAUAUGAUAAUUUUGAAAGAAAUUAUUAAGAGUGUCAUCAAGAAUGAUAAGCUAGAAGAAGGUGAAGCAUCUACUAAAGAGAUCCCGAAAAAAAAAGAGACUGAAGCUAAAGCUGUGAGCUUUGAUUGACAACAAUUUAGGGGUUAUCAACCUUACCCAUCACAAGGAUACCCCUCAUAUUAUCCUGAUGUGAAUUACACCUCUCUUUAUCCAUACCAACCCAUCCCACAGCCAUCCUACCGCCAAACAUAUCAACCUUCCUUCAGACCUCAAAAUGCCACAUACAAUCCUAACACUCAACCUAUCUCAAGACCUCAAACUUGUCCAGCCAGCCCAAUAGGAGGUUCUCGUGAGCAAUGAACCACUCGUGAAAAGCCUGUAUUUGAUCCAAUCCCUAUGACCUAUACAGAGUUAUAUCAUGAGCUUUACAACAAUCAUCCGAUUGCUUCUAAUAAAUUAAAGCCACUUAAACCACCUUACCUUAAGUGAUAUGAUCCCACAGCCUUUUGUGACUAUCACUAUGGGAUCACUAGUUACUUUAUUAAAAAUUGUACUACCUUGAAACACAAAGUGCAAUUACUGAUCAAGGAUGGAAUGAUUAGUUUUGAUACAGGAGGGGUAACUUUACCAAAUGUUAGUGGUAAUCAUUUGCCUAAUCAUAAUGUGAAUGCCCUGAGUAAUGAACAUAAAUGCUAUCUGAAAAGAAAAGUGACAGAUAUUAAGACACCUCUUAGUCAGCUGUUUGAUAUUUUAUGAAAAGUUGAUAUGAUACAACCAGUGAGUUUGCACAGCUAUCAUUGAUUCGAGAACGCUAUAAACAGUUAAAUUUCACAGAAGAAAAGAGAGUUGGUGACAUAGACAACUUCUAGCAAUCUUUCUAUAAAUAAUUUUUUAAAACAAUUAUUUUACUGUAAAUAAUAUUCAUUUCACAUAGACAGUAUAUGACUUACAAUUAUUAUAUUAUAAUUACUUAAUCAUAAUUUAAAAUUAUAUGAGGUUUACACAAAUUUUAUAUAGGACCUUUAUAAAUUUAUACAUAAUUAUUUAUUGUAAUUGAAUAAUUGUAAGAAUAUAAUAAAAAAAUUAUAUAUGCAAUGCAUUCUUUACAUAUUUUCGCAAUUAUAUAUAUAUAUAGAAGGAAAAUGUAAGAAGAAUAUAUUUACAUAUAUCAAUGGCCAUAUUUAAAUUAAUGCAUUGUUUUUUAAUUGAAAAAUAACAAUGUAUUAAAUUAUUUACGAUUCUUUGUAAUGGGUAUGUUUAAUUGAAUAGGGUUUCUUUUAAUUAAUAAAUAAAUUAUUGAAUGAUAAUAAAACAAUCACAUACUAAAAAUGAAAAGUGGACUUUCUCUUUUGAGAAUGGUAAAUUAGUCAAUAUUUAAAAACAACGCAAAACGGCCCCUCUCUUUUAUUUUUUAUUUUUUUAAUUUUUUCAAACAAGAAAUGCAAAGCUCAAAUUUUGAUUUACCUGAGAUCGAGUGUUUUAAUUAGCCCAAUAUUUUACUUUAGAUGAUGCCUAUACAAUUCUUUAAAAUAAAAGUUAAAAUGCUAAAUAGAAAAAUGAAGAUGCAGGACCAAUAUUUAGAUGAUUGUUGGAAUAACCGGGUCGUUGAUAUUGAGUAGUACAAAAAGCCAAUGGGUUAAAGGACAUUUGGCAUGUAACACAGUUACAAAACAAAACUGUCCGUCCCACGCGUACGAGUAUAAUAGGGGGAAGAGCUGCUAAAAAAUAUAUAUAUGUGUGUGGGCAUAUGAUAAUAUAAUUUAGUUAAGUUUUUGGUACUGAUAACAUUAUAUUUUAAUUUAUUAGCUAAAUGGCGUAAGAAAAGUAAUAACUUAAACGUUCAUUGUCAUUAAAAAAUGAAAUAAGGAAAAGAAUUUAGAAACCGGUAAACUCCACAAGUAAUUAGUAAACAGUAAAUAAAUUUUAAAAAGUAAAAAAGCUAAAACUCAUCCUGUUAACAGAAAUACGGGUAUAGCAACCGUUUUAUUAUUUUAUUUAUACUUACCCCUCUAGGAGAAAGACUAGUGCAGCUGAUUUAGUAUUUUCAAGAAGGUCACGAGCGUCCUCCUCAUUUCAGCGUUUCUUCGUCUCUGGUAAUUUCUCAUCUUCUCCAUUUUCAUUUCUCUCUGUACCCGUUUGCAAGAGUUUAUGUUUUCAUUACUCUUUCUGUUUCUAUGUGCAAGAGUUUAUGGUGAGGUGAAAUUUUUUUGGACAGCUAUACUUUAUGUAACAGAAGAAUUUCUAGGGUUUUCUUUGAUGAGAUUGAUGGAGAAGUUCAUUAUUUGGGUUUUGGUACGUAGAAGCUUAAUCAGGUGGAAUCUUAGUGGUUUAAAGGGAAUGGUUCGUAUUUACUUGCAAAGUUUCUUAAUGCUAUCCUUCUGUUAUUUGGUGAAGUUUGAAAAGCUUGUUUGGUUUUUAGGACUUGGCCAAUUUAUUGAAUAUCUUUUGGCUGGUUUAUUAAAAUGAAGAUGGCUUUCUGAUGGUGAGACUGUUCUUUGGUCCUCAUGAAUAGCUAGAAAUGAAUUGGUUUUCGAAAGGGGAAAAUGGGAAGUGGAUGAGGUGUUCUUUCUUAUUAAAUCGAGAGCUUAUUUGACGUGGGUUAAAGCUAUAGAGGGUGAAUUGAGUUUGGUUGAGCUUGGGUGGAGUAUGGUGGGUAUCGUCAGUGUACAUAAGCCAAGAGUAGGGGUUUAUUGAUCGCAUCCGGUGGGGUUUGGACAGUGCCGAUUUGUUUGUGGAUUGGCGAGUAGCAUAUCGUUAAUGGUUUUAUGUUUAUGACUUGUGUAUUGAUAGACCUUUAUGUUUCUGGAAAUGCUUUCAUUAAUAAAAUCAGAUUGAGGGAAAAAAAAAAAAAAAAACUUUGUGUUUUUGAUGGUUUUGUAUAUUGGAGGAUUUCUUUUGAAUAACUAUCAUAUUGUAAUGGAACCAUCUAUGUGCAUUUUAUUAUUGCCAGUGAUGUGGCUUGCUCUAUCUGCUUUUGCAUAUUAAUGAAAUUUAUUUGACUUAAAAGAAAAAUUAUAAUGUGAAAAUGAAAACGUAGAAGGGAGAAAAAAUUACUAAAACUCACCUGCAUCUUAGAAUCUUGAUUUUUUUUUUCUGUUUUGCUCCUUUAUCUUUUUUUUUUUUUUUUUUACUCAUUUCCUGGGUUCAAUUUUGUAGAUCAUGCCGUUAGAUAUAGAAAAGGCAGAACCGAUUCUCAUUCCUAAUGGUUAUCCGGUACACGUGGAUUGGAGGAAGAAAAGGAUACUGCACUUGAGAAAUCAAGGAAAAAUGCGUAAGUUCAAAUUUGCAAUUAUUUUUUUAUUUUACAUAAUUCAAUACGUUUUUAUAUUUGCAUAUAUGAUAGUAUUUUUUUUUUAACAGAAUCUUGUUGGGCCAUGACAACAGUUUCUCUAUUAGAAUCUGUUUGGUCCCUCAAAUUUAACAAGGCUCCGUCUCUUCUAUCACCACAAAUGUUAGUAGAUUGUAUUCAAGAAAAUUCAGACGAACUUGAAGGUAGACGAGACUGCUAUAAGUAUAGUGUUGUAAAAGCACUUGAAUGGUUGAAGAAAAAUGAGGUUUAUGGGGAAAUUGAUUAUCCCUACGUGAAAAGUUGGGGAAAAUGUCGUGCUAGCUCCAUUACCGUAAGCAUCAAUGUGUUUUUGUUUUUAUUCAAAACAAAUAUAUGAAUUGUAAUAUUGUAUCAACGUUUUUUUUUAUUGUUUUUUUCAGCCAACUGUGCGUGUGAAGAUCGAGAAUUACCGUACUAUAGUUGGUGAGGAUAGGAGCCAGAUUCUCAUGAAAGUUGCACGUCGACCCGUUGCUGUCGUGAUUGAAGCAUAUCAGGAAUUUAUAUAUCUAAAAGAUGUAAGUAAUUUUAGAUUGUUUUAUAUUUUUCAAAUGCUUUUAAAUAAUUAGAUUUACAUUUUUUUUAACAUCACUACAUGAUUGUCUCUAAUUUUUCUUGUUGUUGUUUCUUACCAUGGAAGGAAAUCUAUGAAGGUCCAGAAAAGGAAACUGACGAGCCACCUCCUUUGCAUGCAAUCAUUAUUGUUGGUUAUGGUACAGAGGGACAGGGUGCGGAUGCAAAAAAUUAUUGGUUGGUUAUGAAUUCUUGGGGAUCUGAUUGGGGAGUAGAGGGAUUUGGACGGGUUUGCAGAGAUACUACGGUAGAUGAAAAGUUUUUGCUUACACGAAUCGCUUAUCCUAUAUUUGAUGAGGAGAAAAACCAGAAAUGAACCAUAUGUUUGAGACUUAAUAUCCUUUGUUAUUAGUGUUAUUGAGAUUUUAUAUUACACAUUACAGUUGCUUAGUUUGAUAUUACAAAAGAGUUAUAUGGGCUUAAUAUUUUAUAAUAUCAACUUUUUGAUCAUUUUAUUCUAGUUUUUAUUGCGAAAAUAACAAUCAUUUCAGCUGUGAAUUAAUUAAAUUUUCGUAUAAAUUCAAAACUUUCUACACCAUGAUUAUAGGUAAUUGAGAUUAUAUUUAAUAUUGUAAAUAACACUGUAUAAUUGUUGAUUUUUUGAUAAAAUUGGAAAGGAAAACAAAUUGGACAUAGUAAGAGCUUUUAUUUCAAUACUGAUAUAGAUAAUAUAUAUAUAUAUAUAUAUAAUAAAUUAAAAUUUGGCACAUUCAUUAUGAUAAGCAUGUUGUUCUUUUUUCUUUUUUUUUUUAAAGAAUAAUUUUAAAAAGUUAUGUAGCUAGUUUUUCUAUAUAAAAAAAAGUUUCUGUAACUUCUCAAUUUUUUUUUUAAAAUUUGAAAAGACAUAAAUUUUUUUUAUUUUAUAUUUUUUUAUAUUUGAUUUUUAUGUAAAUAAGCAAGUCUAUGUCUCGCUUAUCUAACGCACGUAUAGUUUCAACUUGUUUCUUUUUUUUUACAUAUGGAUAUUAUAAUAUCAGUUUCAUUUUUGUCACGUUUAGAUUUUUUAAUUGCUAUGUCAGUUAUUUUAUAUGUCAUCAAAGUUUACUUAAUAAUAUUUAAUUUCACAUUAACUUAUAUUUUAAUUAUUCAUGAAUUUAGAAAUUUAAAAAUUUCUAUAUUCUUAAACUCAAUUAAUUAUAGAUAAAUGUGCUUUAUAUUCUGUGUCAUUUAAAGUUAAAUUUAUUCAUAUUUACUAUUAAUUAAUUAUGAAUCAAAUUUAAUUAUUUAUAAAUUUAAUUAAUUAAAAAUAAAUAUACUUAACUUUAAUACAAUUUAAAUUAAUAUCUUUAUUAAUAAUAUAAAUAUAUAAAAUCAAAUCAUGCUAAUCAUUAUUUACUUCACUCAAUAACACAAAUUACAUUGCCUAUAAAUUAUUCCCUACAGAAACGCUAAAGAAUAAAAGUAAACUAUAACCGGCAGCAAUGGAUGUGAGACUAGUUUUUUUUUUGUUAGUUUCAUUACUUUUUUCCUUUCACUCACCUAAUAAGUGCGUCAAAACUUAAUUUCUUUCAUGUCGAAAAAUCAAUGAAUUUGUUAGAGAAAACAGAAAAUACUUGCCCGACAAGAAAAGGAAAAUAAAAUAAAAUGAACGAACACGUGAUGUGAUGACAAUGACGGUUCGAUCGUUAAGAAAAUGGUGGGACCGGGUCCAUUCCUACGCGGACGGUUAAGAUCUAAUCUCGAAAUUGUACGCACAUCAGGUGCUACUUAUUAUCCCUCCCUCAGACUCGGUUAUUUUAGGGUUAGGAUUCCGUCUCAUUCGUGAUCUAACCAACUUCUGCAAUUCUCAUGGCUUCCGUUCCACCUCUCCCCAUGGAGGAGCAACCACCAACUACGGAGGAGCGACCAUCAAGUGAGAAGAAACAGGAACAAGAACACGAUUAUUUUCUGUCUCAUUUUGACGAAGAUACCGAUGAGGAAGAAAGCAGCCAGUCCGGUACUUGCGAAGCCGAGGAAUUUCGUGAGAUGACGGAUGCGGAGCAAAAAGCCUUUUCAGCUGCUUUCAAAGAGAGUGGUGUAAGCCUAUUUCUGCAAAAUUUAAGUUUCAUAUACAUAUAUUCUAUAUUUAUUAAGUUUACCUUGUAGGGAUUUGAUGUUCCUCCUUUUCCUGGGGUUUAUUACAACGACCUAAUUACGCCCAUGAAUAUGAGUAAAGGUGGGCCGGAAUAUCUAUUCCGUUAUUCCGUGGCAGGGAUCGGCCGAUAUAAUGAAGAACAUGUUGGUUUGGUUUUUUUUUUUUUUUCUUGUUUUCUUUAUCUUUUUUCCGGUGAUAUAAUUUUGACUGAUAUUUUUAAUGUUUUCAGGGAACCAACUAUGAGGUAGUCCGAGUGGAAAAGUGCAUGCAACAGGCUGCUCGCGGUAUUAAGUACUACAUAACCUUCCAUGCCAAGAAUAAGAUUGCUUCAGAGCAUGGCAGUGAUACUCCUAAAGCUGCUGAUGAUAGUAGCGAUAAAACUGAAAUCUUUGAGGCUUUGGUCUUGUUCGGUAUUCCAAAGGACAAAAAGGAUGAACCAAUCGAUGUGAUCUUUUGUAGGCUAAAGGGUACCAGGCCAGGUACUAAUGUUUUUCAUUAAUGCAAUUACUUUUAAAAAAAAAAAAAAAAUCCGUACUUGGUUAUUGAUGAAUUAUCACUUUUAUAUUCUACUUGAAUAUCCGAUUGUUAGCAUACAUUACACUAGUUUAAGGGAUAUGUUUGGUGAUCCUUAUCUACAAGGAAUACUCCGUAAAUUUAAACCCAGUUGUGCACUUCAUCUGUUUUGUGAUGAACAGAUAUAUCAUUUGCAUUUACUGGCUUAAUUAUAGAUAUGUCGUGAAUAGCAACUACUUACUAUGAUGAAGGAUUUGUGAACUUUUUAACGAAUGACUUAAUUGUGAUUGCCAUAUACAGUGUGUUGUGUUUUCAUGUUGGGGAGUUUGUUGGUCUGCAGUUGAGAAUUGCUUGUGUGUUGUUUGAUAUUUUGCAUGACUGUCAUGUUUUGUUUAUUGGGUUACCUUUACUUAAGGUUUUGGAUAUCUAGUUAUCUAGGGUAAGUGCUGGCUUUUGAUGAGCUUAAUGAAUGGCUACCCAUUUUUAGCUAGAGGUUUUACCGCUGUAGAGUAGUAGUAAUAUAAAGGCAAGGUUUAGGACUUCUUUAUGAUCUUGGUGGAACGACAGAGACUAACCCUAUAUUUAGUUUUAGAUAAGGAAGUAAAAUGCAAGUUCAGGUGAGUGUGUUCUAUUGGUCAGAAAAUUUUUUAUUUUAGGGUGCUGCCCAUGUUCACAUAUAUAUACAAUCACAAUUAAUUUAAUUUAUUGGUUGUGUUGAUGUAGAUCUUUGAAAAUUUUGUGGAGGCGUUCAGCUGGUGGGUGAGAAGAGCACCAGAAGUUGAGCACGUCAUCUUGUUAAUGCUUCUUAUUUUAUAAUUUGAACCUCUAUCUAGAAUGUUUAUGUGUUAAGCGAUCUAAACUCAUCCGACGCUUUCGCUUACCGACUACAGUACUGUUGAUUAUAUAACUUUGUGCUGCUUCUAUGUUUAAUGAUUUAGCUAUGAAAACCACAUUAUCCUAAUUUCUUAUACUCAGCUUUAGGUGAGUUAGGGAACUUUUAUUCUGCUGUCACAGUGUUCAUGGCCCAUUUUCGCCCCAAAAGCUCUCGACGAGCUGUAUACGAAAUUAACAUCUAUAUAUCUAGUAGAAUGAAAUUUACGUCUGUAUUAUAUCUAGUUAUCUGUACAAUGGAUCAUAUAAGUGAGAGAACCGUUUUGCUACUGAGUCAGCGCCAGCACCAUUGGUUUAUACAAGACUUAAAGCUUUUUUCUGGUUUAAGCAUCUUCUGCAUGAAUUGCUGUUCUGUUUCCUGGACCAUAAAAUGUCCUUUGGCUGGGCCUGGGAUGAUCAAGUUGAACCUCCUUUGAGCCUAGGCCUAGAAGAUUUAGCGCAAAUCAGCCUAUAAAAUGUAUAAAUCAGACAAAAAAAAAAUCAUUUAGUCACCAAUUCAGUGAGAAUAUAAAAGUAAACAAAUAAAAUCAAGCGUAACUAAGUUGUUUGAAGUUUGAAAUCGGUUCUCAUUGUCAUGGAUUUGAUUCUUCACCAACAUUUAAAGAUUUUGCAUGUAUUGUCUGAUUUAGUUUCUGUUGGUUAAUUAAGUUUGAUCGAUAAUGCAAAAUCUUAGGGGAGGAGAAUGCCACGUGUGCAUUCAAGAAAUCAGGACACACCAUAUGUACAAAACCCAAUCCAAAUUUCAAGCCAAAAUUACAAAUGCUGGCAAUUACUGUUAUUCAUGCACACUGGAUCCAUUUGCCAAAUAUUUUAUCUGGAAUUUGCCCCGUUAAAACCACUCAUGUGAAAUGUGGUUGUCUGUUGAUCCUUACGGUUGGGCAUUUGCGCAUUGUCAAGUCCACACAUUAAUAUAAAAAUUUUAAUUAACAAUGUAAAUUGGUUCGGUUUGAUUUCUGAUUUGGUUUCUUAUUUAAUAAUGUAAAUUAAAACAUGAAAAAAAAUCACUCUCUAAACUUUAAUUAAAGAAUGAAUCUCACCCAUUUAACCUCAUAAAUUAUGGGUUGAGACAGCAAAAAAUCAAGUAUGAAUAAAUAAAAAUGACUAUGAAAUUGAACCAAUACACAAAAUGAGGCAGAAAAGAAAAAAAAGAACAUAUAUAUACACACAACAAAAAAAUAUACAAAAUGAAAAAUCUUAGAAAAAAAGAAAAAAAAAAAAUAUAUAUAUAUAUAUAUAUACACAACAAAAAAAUAUACAAAAUGAAAAAUCUUAAGGAAUGAGCUGUCACGUGUUGAUUUUUGAGAAAAAAUUGAUAGAGUUAGAAUUUUAGCAUAUAAUUAACUUUUCAAAUGAAAUCUUAAAAUGAAGAGAAUUAUAUAUUUUUAAAAUAUAAACUUAUAUAGAAAAAAAACUUGUACAAAUAAAAUAAUUAAAUAUUUACAUAAUAUAAAUAUAACUAUCAUUAAUUUUGCAGUUUUCAAAAAUAAAUCAAUCCAAAUCAAGUUAAUCAAUUUUUAUUGCAGUCCAAGAAUUAAAAAAAAAUUAUAAGUGUUAAAAUUUAAAUAUAAAUUAUUAUUUUUUAAAAAUAAUUAUAUAAAAUAAGUAAAAUAAACUUCUGGUUCAUCAAUAUUUGAUUUUAACCAAAUAACGUUCAAUGUUACAUUUAAAUGAUAGGUGAUAAGUUAAAAUAAAAUGAAGUAGCUAAUUCUUAUCAUAUAAACUAAUUAAAAAAAGUGAAACAUCAUAAUUAUUUUCCUUUGAUAGAAAAGGGUGAAGAUUAAGCAUAUAGUAGUUUUUAGAUUAACAAAAAUGACCAAAAAAAGUUUGGCAUCAAUUUGGUCAUGGAAUGUGAUAGAUCAUAUAAUCCUACAUAUAUAUUAUUUUUAAUUUUAUGAAUCAACAUUUUUAUGUGGUGGUGGUUAUAAAAAAUGCGAGGAAAUUGAAAAAGAAAAAACAAACUUGACCAACAAGAAGUCUAAACAAAAUCUGUUGUGGACAUACAUUUGUGAUUGUUACCCAUUGCCAUGGCCUUUUGCUUUGUACUUUGAUUAUUAUUCAAAUUUGAAAUUGUAAUUUCUGUAUAUUAUCUUAUGUUGCAUCAUGAUCAACAUACACUUGAUUAUUAUUGAUAAAGGAUACUGCACUUGAGAAAUCAAGGAAAAAUGCGUAAGUUCAAAUUUGCAAUUAUUUUUUUUAUUUUACAUAAUUCAAUACAUUUUUAUAUUUGCAUAUAUGAUAGUAUUUUUUUUUUUAACAGAAUCUUGUUGGGCCAUGACAACAGUUUCUCUAUUAGAAUCUGUUUGGUCCCUCAAAUUUAACAAGGCUCCGUCUCUUCUAUCACCACAAAUGUUAGUAGAUUGUAUUCAAGAAAAUUCAGACGAACUUGAAGGUAGACGAGACUGCUAUCAGCAUAGUGUUGUAAAAGCACUUGAAUGGUUGAAGAAAAAUGAGGUUUAUGGGGAAAUUGAUUAUCUCUACGUGAAAAGUUAGGGAAAAUGUCGUGCUAGCUCCAUUACCGUAAGCAUCACAUGUGUUUUUGUUUUUAUUCAAACAAAUAUAUGAAUUGUAAUAUUGUAUCAACGUUUUUUUUAUUGUUUUUUCAGCCAACUGUGCGUGUGAAGAUCGAGAAUUACCGUACUAUAGUUGGUGAGGAUAAGAGUAAGAUUCUCAUGAAAAGUUGCACGUCGACACGUUGCUGCCGUGACUGAGCAUAUCAGGAAUUUAUAUAUCUAAAAUAUGUAAGUAAUUUUAGAUUGUUUUAUAUUUGUCAAAUGCUUUUAAAUAAUUAGAUUUACAUUUUUUAACAUCACUACAUGAUUGUCUCUAAUUUUUCUUUUUGUUAUUUCUUACCAUGGAAGGAAAUCUAUGAAGGUCCAGAAAAGGAAACUGACGAGCCACCUCCUUUGCAUGCAAUCCUUAUUGUUGGUUAUGGUACAGAGGGACAGGGUGCGGAUGCAAAAAAUUAUUGGUUGGUUAUUAGGGUUUACUAGUAUGCUACACAAAUAUUAUAUUACUAUGGUAAUUAUACAGUUUAUCUAAUCUAAUGGUUGAGUUUGAAAACUAUCCAAAUUAUGAAUAUAUAUAUAUAUAUAUAUAUGUCUUUUUACCAAUUAAUUCUUCUGGUUUGUGAAUCUAAAGCUUGGUUCAAAAAGCAAUGAUCAUGUACACAUCAUGUUGUAUGGUUUAUAUAUUAAUAUAAAAUACCAAUCGAUAAAACCAUCGCUCAUUCCACAUUUGCAAAAUAGGAAAGCUGUUACUGUUUUCGUUACAUGAUUGUUUCAUUAUCAUUCAAUAAUUUAUUAUUAAUUAAAGAAACCCUAUUCAAUUAAACUUACCCAUUUUAAGAAUCAUUUUAUUAAUUUAAUACAUUGUUUUUUUUCAAUUAAACAACAUCCAUUAAUUAUGCUUUUUAAUUUAAAUAUCACCAUUAACAUAUUAAUACAUUGUUCUUUUUCAAUUAAAAAACAAUACAUUAAUUAUACUUUUUAUUUAAAUAUCAUUGUUUGACAUAUGUAAAUAUCAUGCUUCUUCUAUUUUUCUCACACACAUAUAUAUUAUUUAUUGAAGAAUUAGUAUUGCGAAAACAUGUAAUGGAUGCAUUUCACUUAUAAAUUUUUUAUUAUACUUUUACAAUUAUCUAAUCACAAUAAAUAAUUACGUUUAAAUUCAUCACUUAUAAAUAAAGAUUCUAUAUAAAGUUUUUUUUAAACCCCAUAUAAUUUUAAAUUAUGAUUAAGUAAUUAUAAUAUAAAUAUUGUAAGUUAUAUGCUCAUCUAUGUGAUAUGAAUAUUAUUUUAUAGUAAAAUAUUUUUUAAAAAUAUAUAUUAAUAGAAAAAUUGCUAGAAGUUGGACUGCGUGAUGAAAAAUUGCUAGAAGUCAGGAUUUCGUAAGGGUUUGGCUCGACUCAUGAGGAUAGACAAAGAAGUUGUGGAUUCUCAUACAAAGUAAAAAACAAGAACAGGUUUGCUUACCUUGAAAGUUCUUUCAUGAGUUUCUAGUGCAACAUGCCAACGAAGAACGUGGGUUAGAUGUAUUCAUCUUAGCUAUAUACGAAAUGGUGAUAUUUCUAAAAGUUUUGGGUUUUAUUGAAAUAGCGGUGGUUGACUUCUUCGAGAGUGUGAUCAAUGGUUGUAACCCUUCAAUGGUAAUAUUAGCAGAGACUAUCAGAUCUUUGAGUUACUGUCGUCGGAAUGGAGGGUGUUUUAUAGGCUGUAUACAAUUAUUAUACUUAUGGAUGAAAAGUCACUUCGAAUGGAGAAAAUGUGCUUUCUCGAAGCUUUAUGUCCACAAUCAAACUUCGAUCAAGGAAUUCUGUGAAAGUGAGUGGUCAGAACAAAAGUCUAAAAAGAAGUGGAUAGCUUUCCUACAAAAAUUGACUAGUGCCAAAGUAAGAUGGUUGGUUCCGUGGAUGAAUCGUGAACUUAUGUUGUAUCAAUGUGGAGAUAAUAUUGUGGUCUCACUUUUGGGUUUAUGAGGAACAACAAGUUAUGCACCACUCCUAGUGAGAAGGCAGUUUGGGGCAGAAUAGUUCAUUCUUAUGACGCAUGGAUUCAUCAGUUAAAUUUCUCUUACAAUGAGUCAAAAGCAUUUCAGAGGAUGAAUGAGAUGAUUAAAGUGUGGAAAAACUCCUGAAGAGUGAGUCUUAGAUCGUUCACUGAUAAAGUCAUUCUAGGGUAUUUACUUUGGAGAGCAAGACGAAGACAGGAAAUGAUAUUCACUUAUGAAAGCUUUCAACCGCCAAUAGGAGGAAAGCUUGAAGAGACACCAUCAGAAUUAGAGCUUGUGAUAAAAGAAUUUAAGUUUGAAAGGAUAAGUUAAAGCAAAAAAUCCAGAAGCUUCGAGAAGAAAAAGAUUAGUGGAAAGAUAGAGCUGAAAGACAUGAAGCCAGAGUUUGCAAGAUUGCUAGAGAAUGUGAUACAGCUGUUGAAAACCUAGCAGAGCUACACCAAGAACAUAAAAGGUUAUGUGUGAGAGAAAGGGCCAAAGAGAUAACAAUUGUUAAGCUGACUGAAGAGAAUGCAAGAUUGAAACAGGAAUAUGCUGAAUUGAAAGAAGAAAGUACCCAAGUACAGAUAAAGAAUAACAUGUUGAAUAGCUACCUAAGCAGGUUGAGAUAAAAGUUGAAUGAACAAGAAGAUCAUAUUGCUGCAUUGGUUAGAGAGCAUAGAGAGUUAUCAUACCAAGUCUGGUAUGAUAAAAUAGAUAACUUAAGAAGAUAGAAGUACAUUGAGCACCUAACGACCCAAAUUUCUAAAGGGGUAUGCAAGGCAAGAGAGAUGGUAGAAGAAGCAGAGGUAUUAAAACAAGAGGUGGCCCUAGUAGGAGAAAAUGGGUAACUUCUAUUAAACUUCAUCGAUGAAGCAAAGGCCUAGUAUGAGCAGAUCAAAUGACUUUAUGGUUAUAACUCUAAGAUGAUAACUCAAUGUAAAUAAAAGUUCUUUGGAAUAAAUGAAAUUUUUUAGCAUCGUCUUAAGGCAAAUAUUCUUUGCAUACCUGUAUUUUCAUUUAUUGCAUUCUCACUCAUUACACUUAACAAAGUAACAUGAGAUAGUCGUAUAAAUUUAAUAAUUCUAAGAUACGGUAUUCAAGGUUCAAGGAUAGCUUCAUCUAGCAAAAACCUUAUCUAUCGAUAUAACACAAAAGCUAGAACCAGAUAAAUGGAGCAAAAAAACUCUCACAGAUUUGAAAGCUGAAAAAAAACAUGAGAAAAAUAUUAAGAAUGAGUUGAAAAAAAUUCUAGAUGCCCUCAAUAAGCUAACAUGGAAAAAGAAAUAGAAGAAAAUACAAGCCAAGAAGGCCUCCAUCACAAGAAAUGGUCGAUCUUUUGUAUUCUUCAAUUUUUGGUCCAUAACAAGCCAACCACACAGGAUAUUCCACACAACAGUUCACAUAUCCUGUAUACCUAAAAUACACUCACCUCGAAUCCAUGACAUUAUCAUAGCUAUGUAAUUCUGUCUUUACUAAAUGGUAAUAGAACCGAUUCAAGUUCCUGAUCUAAAUGACUCGAAAAAGAAAGAGAAAAAAAAAGUAAAAGUGAUGGAGUCUCAAGAAGAUUCAAGAUUAGUAUGCUUAAACAAAAAUUACGGGUCAUAAAAAGAUUGAAUUUUAUGGUUCUGUUGAUGCUGCUAGGCUGUGCGUAGUCUCAAAUAUAGUCAUUUCACUAAAAUUUAAAGUAUCAAAAUUUGAGAAAUGAUGGUACGAAAUACCUAAAAACUCAUAUUACCAUGUAUUGUCAGAAGAUGACAGCCCAUGCCUAUAAUGAAAAACUAUUAAUAGACGUUUUUUAAAAUAGCCUUAUAUGCUCUACUGUCAUGUGGUAUGUCUAGCUGGACAGAACCCAUAUUCGUUCUUAGAGUGAUAUGACUAAUAAUUUCAUUAAUCAAUAUCGGUUUAUUAUGGAUCUGGCUCCUGAUCGUUUGUCUUUAUAGAACCUGAAAAAAAAAAAAGGUAAAUGAGUCUUUUAAGAAUAUGCCCAGAGAUAGAAGGACGUAGCUUCUCAAGUACAACCCCAUCUAACUGAGAAAGAGAUUACAGUGUUAUUUCUUAGCACUUUAAAAUCUUCUUAUUAUGAAAAAAAGAUAAGGAAUGCAACAAAAAAUUUUACUAAUAUGAUAAUUUUGAAAGAAAUUAUUAAGAGUGUCAUCAAGAAUGAUAAGCUAGAAGAAGGUGAAGCAUCUACUAAAGAGAUCCCGAAAAAAAAAGAGACUGAAGCUAAAGCUGUGAGCUUUGAUUGACAACAAUUUAGGGGUUAUCAACCUUACCCAUCACAAGGAUACCCCUCAUAUUAUCCUGAUGUGAAUUACACCUCUCUUUAUCCAUACCAACCCAUCCCACAGCCAUCCUACCGCCAAACAUAUCAACCUUCCUUCAGACCUCAAAAUGCCACAUACAAUCCUAACACUCAACCUAUCUCAAGACCUCAAACUUGUCCAGCCAGCCCAAUAGGAGGUUCUCGGGAGCAAUGAACCACUCGUGAAAAGCCUGUAUUUGAUCCAAUCCCUAUGACCUAUACAGAGUUAUAUCAUGAGCUUUACAACAAUCAUCCGAUUGCUUCUAAUAAAUUAAAGCCACUUAAACCACCUUACCUUAAGUGAUAUGAUCCCACAGCCUUUUGUGACUAUCACUAUGGGAUCACUAGUUACUUUAUUAAAAAUUGUACUACCUUGAAACACAAAGUGCAAUUACUGAUCAAGGAUGGAAUGAUUAGUUUUGAUACAGGAGGGGUAACUUUACCAAAUGUUAGUGGUAAUCAUUUGCCUAAUCAUAAUGUGAAUGCCCUGAGUAAUGAACAUAAAUGCUAUCUGAAAAGAAAAGUGACAGAUAUUAAGACACCUCUUAGUCAGCUGUUUGAUAUUUUAUGAAAAGUUGAUAUGAUACAACCAGUGAGUUUGCACAGCUAUCAUUGAUUCGAGAACGCUAUAAACAGUUAAAUUUCACAGAAGAAAAGAGAGUUGGUGACAUAGACAACUUCUAGCAAUCUUUCUAUAAAUAAUUUUUUAAAACAAUUAUUUUACUGUAAAAUAAUAUUCAUUUCACAUAGACAGUAUAUGACUUACAAUUAUUAUAUUAUAAUUACUUAAUCAUAAUUUAAAAUUAUAUGAGGUUUACACAAAUUUUAUAUAGGACCUUUAUAAAUUUAUACAUAAUUAUUUAUUGUAAUUGAAUAAUUGUAAGAAUAUAAUAAAAAAAUUAUAUAUGCAAUGCAUUCUUUACAUAUUUUCGCAAUUAUAUAUAUAUAUAGAAGGAAAAUGUAAGAAGAAUAUAUUUACAUAUAUCAAUGGCCAUAUUUAAAUUAAUGCAUUGUUUUUUAAUUGAAAAAUAACAAUGUAUUAAAUUAUUUACGAUUCUUUGUAAUGGGUAUGUUUAAUUGAAUAGGGUUUCUUUUAAUUAAUAAAUAAAUUAUUGAAUGAUAAUAAAACAAUCACAUACUAAAAAUGAAAAGUGGACUUUCUCUUUUGAGAAUGGUAAAUUAGUCAAUAUUUAAAAACAACGCAAAACGGCCCCUCUCUUUUAUUUUUUAUUUUUUUAAUUUUUUCAAACAAGAAAUGCAAAGCUCAAAUUUUGAUUUACCUGAGAUCGAGUGUUUUAAUUAGCCCAAUAUUUUACUUUAGAUGAUGCCUAUACAAUUCUUUAAAAUAAAAGUUAAAAUGCUAAAUAGAAAAAUGAAGAUGCAGGACCAAUAUUUAGAUGAUUGUUGGAAUAACCGGGUCGUUGAUAUUGAGUAGUACAAAAAGCCAAUGGGUUAAAGGACAUUUGGCAUGUAACACAGUUACAAAACAAAACUGUCCGUCCCACGCGUACGAGUAUAAUAGGGGGAAGAGCUGCUAAAAAAUAUAUAUAUGUGUGUGGGCAUAUGAUAAUAUAAUUUAGUUAAGUUUUUGGUACUGAUAACAUUAUAUUUUAAUUUAUUAGCUAAAUGGCGUAAGAAAAGUAAUAACUUAAACGUUCAUUGUCAUUAAAAAAUGAAAUAAGGAAAAGAAUUUAGAAACCGGUAAACUCCACAAGUAAUUAGUAAACAGUAAAUAAAUUUUAAAAAGUAAAAAAGCUAAAACUCAUCCUGUUAACAGAAAUACGGGUAUAGCAACCGUUUUAUUAUUUUAUUUAUACUUACCCCUCUAGGAGAAAGACUAGUGCAGCUGAUUUAGUAUUUUCAAGAAGGUCACGAGCGUCCUCCUCAUUUCAGCGUUUCUUCGUCUCUGGUAAUUUCUCAUCUUCUCCAUUUUCAUUUCUCUCUGUACCCGUUUGCAAGAGUUUAUGUUUUCAUUACUCUUUCUGUUUCUAUGUGCAAGAGUUUAUGGUGAGGUGAAAUUUUUUUGGACAGCUAUACUUUAUGUAACAGAAGAAUUUCUAGGGUUUUCUUUGAUGAGAUUGAUGGAGAAGUUCAUUAUUUGGGUUUUGGUACGUAGAAGCUUAAUCAGGUGGAAUCUUAGUGGUUUAAAGGGAAUGGUUCGUAUUUACUUGCAAAGUUUCUUAAUGCUAUCCUUCUGUUAUUUGGUGAAGUUUGAAAAGCUUGUUUGGUUUUUAGGACUUGGCCAAUUUAUUGAAUAUCUUUUGGCUGGUUUAUUAAAAUGAAGAUGGCUUUCUGAUGGUGAGACUGUUCUUUGGUCCUCAUGAAUAGCUAGAAAUGAAUUGGUUUUCGAAAGGGGAAAAUGGGAAGUGGAUGAGGUGUUCUUUCUUAUUAAAUCGAGAGCUUAUUUGACGUGGGUUAAAGCUAUAGAGGGUGAAUUGAGUUUGGUUGAGCUUGGGUGGAGUAUGGUGGGUAUCGUCAGUGUACAUAAGCCAAGAGUAGGGGUUUAUUGAUCGCAUCCGGUGGGGUUUGGACAGUGCCGAUUUGUUUGUGGAUUGGCGAGUAGCAUAUCGUUAAUGGUUUUAUGUUUAUGACUUGUGUAUUGAUAGACCUUUAUGUUUCUGGAAAUGCUUUCAUUAAUAAAAUCAGAUUGAGGGAAAAAAAAAAAAACUUUGUGUUUUUGAUGGUUUUGUAUAUUGGAGGAUUUCUUUUGAAUAACUAUCAUAUUGUAAUGGAACCAUCUAUGUGCAUUUUAUUAUUGCCAGUGAUGUGGCUUGCUCUAUCUGCUUUUGCAUAUUAAUGAAAUUUAUUUGACUUAAAAGAAAAAUUAUAAUGUGAAAAUGAAAACGUAGAAGGGAGAAAAAAUUACUAAAACUCACCUGCAUCUUAGAAUCUUGAUUUUUUUUCUGUUUUGCUCCUUUAUCUUUUUUUUUUUUUUUUACUCAUUUCCUGGGUUCAAUUUUGUAGAUCAUGCCGUUAGAUAUAGAAAAGGCAGAACCGAUUCUCAUUCCUAAUGGUUAUCCGGUACACGUGGAUUGGAGGAAGAAAAGGAUACUGCACUUGAGAAAUCAAGGAAAAAUGCGUAAGUUCAAAUUUGCAAUUAUUUUUUUAUUUUACAUAAUUCAAUACAUUUUUAUAUUUGCAUAUAUGAUAGUAUUUUUUUUUAACAGAAUCUUGUUGGCCCAUGACAACAGUUUCUCUAUUAGAAUCUGUUUGGUCCCUCAAAUUUAACAAGGCUCCGUCUCUUCUAUCACCACAAAUGUUGGUAGAUUGUAUUCAAGAAGAUUCAGACGAACUUAAAGGUAGACGAGACUGCUAUAAGUAUAGUGUUGUAAAAGCACUUGAAUGUUGAUUAUCCCUACGUGAAAAGUUGGGGAAAAUGUCGUGCUAGCUCCAUUACCGUAAGCAUCAAUGUGUUUUUGUUUUUAUUCAAAACAAAUAUAUGAAUUGUAAUAUUGUAUCAACGUUUUUUUUUAUUGUUUUUUUCAGCCAACUGUGCGUGUGAAGAUCGAGAAUUACCGUACUAUAGUUGGUGAGGAUAGGAGCCAGAUUCUCAUGAAAGUUGCACGUCGACCCGUUGCUGUCGUGAUUGAAGCAUAUCAGGAAUUUAUAUAUCUAAAAGAUGUAAGUAAUUUUAGAUUGUUUUAUAUUUUUCAAAUGCUUUUAAAUAAUUAGAUUUACAUUUUUUUUAACAUCACUACAUGAUUGUCUCUAAUUUUUCUUGUUGUUGUUUCUUACCAUGGAAGGAAAUCUAUGAAGGUCCAGAAAAGGAAACUGACGAGCCACCUCCUUUGCAUGCAAUCAUUAUUGUUGGUUAUGGUACAGAGGGACAGGGUGCGGAUGCAAAAAAUUAUUGGUUGGUUAUGAAUUCUUGGGGAUCUGAUUGGGGAGUAGAGGGAUUUGGACGGGUUUGCAGAGAUACUACGGUAGAUGAAAAGUUUUUGCUUACACGAAUCGCUUAUCCUAUAUUUGAUGAGGAGAAAAACCAGAAAUGAACCAUAUGUUUGAGACUUAAUAUCCUUUGUUAUUAGUGUUAUUGAGAUUUUAUAUUACACAUUACAGUUGCUUAGUUUGAUAUUACAAAAGAGUUAUAUGGGCUUAAUAUUUUAUAAUAUCAACUUUUUGAUCAUUUUAUUCUAGUUUUUAUUGCGAAAAUAACAAUCAUUUCAGCUGUGAAUUAAUUAAAUUUUCGUAUAAAUUCAAAACUUUCUACACCAUGAUUAUAGGUAAUUGAGAUUAUAUUUAAUAUUGUAAAUAACACUGUAUAAUUGUUGAUUUUUUGAUAAAAUUGGAAAGGAAAACAAAUUGGACAUAGUAAGAGCUUUUAUUUCAAUACUGAUAUAGAUAAUAUAUAUAUAUAUAUAUAAUAAAUUAAAAUUUGGCACAUUCAUUAUGAUAAGCAUGUUGUUCUUUUUUCUUUUUUUUUUAAAGAAUAAUUUUAAAAAGUUAUGUAGCUAGUUUUUCUAUAUAAAAAAAAGUUUCUGUAACUUCUCAAUUUUUUUUUUAAAAUUUGAAAAGACAUAAAUUUUUUUUAUUUUAUAUUUUUUUAUAUUUGAUUUUUAUGUAAAUAAGCAAGUCUAUGUCUCGCUUAUCUAACGCACGUAUAGUUUCAACUUGUUUCUUUUUUUUUACAUAUGGAUAUUAUAAUAUCAGUUUCAUUUUUGUCACGUUUAGAUUUUUUAAUUGCUAUGUCAGUUAUUUUAUAUGUCAUCAAAGUUUACUUAAUAAUAUUUAAUUUCACAUUAACUUAUAUUUUAAUUAUUCAUGAAUUUAGAAAUUUAAAAAUUUCUAUAUUCUUAAACUCAAUUAAUUAUAGAUAAAUGUGCUUUAUAUUUUGUGUCAUUUAAAAGUUUAAAUUUAAAUUCAUAUUUACUAUUAAUUAAUUAUGAAUCAAAUUUAAUUAUUUAUAAAUUUAAUUAAUUAAAAAUAAAUAUACUUAACUUUAAUACAAUUUAAAUUAAAUAUCUUUAUUAAAUAAUAUAAAUAUAUAAAAACUAUGCAAAUUAUGAUAUAUAUAUAUAUAUAUAUGUCUUUUUACCAAUUAAUUCUUCUGGUUUGUGAAUCUACAGUUUGUUCAAAAGCAAUGAUCAUAUACACAUCAUGCUGUGUGGCUUAUAUAUUUAUAUAAAAAUACCAAUCGAUAAAACCAUCGCUCAUUCCACAUUUGCAAAAUAGGAUUGUUUCGUUAUCAUUCAAUAAUUUAUUUAUUAAUUAAAAGAAACCCUAUUUAAUUAAACUUACCCAUUUUAAAGAAUCAUUUAUAAUUUAAUACAUUGUUCUCUUUCAAUUAAAAAACAAUACAUUAAUUAUGCUUUUUAAUUUAAAUAUCACCAUUAACAUAUUAAUACAUUGUUCUUUUUCAAUUAAAAAACAAUACAUUAAUUAUACUUUUUAAUUUAAAUAUCAUUGUUGACAUAUGUAAAUAUAUGCUUCUUAUAUUUUUCUCACACACAUAUAUAUUAUUUAUUGAAGAAUUUAGUAUUGCGAAAACAUGUAAUGGAUGCAUUUCACUUAUAAAUUUUUUAUUAUACUUUUACAAUUAUCUAAUCACAAUAAAUAAUUACUUUUAAAUUCAUCACUUAUAAAUAAAGAUUCUAUAUAAAUUUUUUUUAAACCCCAUAUAAUUUUAAAUUAUGAUUAAGUAAUUAUAAUAUAAAUAUUGUAAGUUAUAUGCUCAUCUAUGUGAUAUGAAUAUUAUUUUAUAGUAAAAUAUUUGUUUUAAAAAAAUAUUAAUAGAAAAAUUGCUGGAAGUUGGACUGCGUGAUGAAUAUUUAAUGGGCUACGUACUGACUAGGAGAAAGGGAUAGAAGUAGUGUAUUGAGCUUGAGAGGGGCACUGAAAGAUGGACUAAUCAUACAUGGCAUUGCUGUGAAAAGGGUUACUUUGAAAAUCACGGCUCUCUAACACAUGGAAAGUCGAAUUUCGAACCAACUAUGUUGAACGUGGACAGCAUUUCCUUGCAUUAUUACUAGGUAUUUUUCACUUGGGUUAGCUUUUUUUUUUUCCAAGUCAAGUUCAUUUUUAUGGGGAGUACAUGUAUGGACAUAAUGUUCCCAAUACCCAUAAUUUAACCAACAUCCACCAUAAAAUGAGCAUUACAACAGCAUACAAUUCACAAUUCAAACAGUAUCCUGACCUUGCUUAGAACUUUCCUCAAUCCCCUUCCACCAAGCCAUAAACAUUUAUUUCAUAUGCAUAUGUAAAUACACAUGAAAUGAAUGAAAUUAUUCCAUGCAUGACACAGGUUACAAUCUAAUUCUUUAAUUAAUUAACAAGUUUUCUUAUUAAUAUGUUCUUCAUGUACAAAAUCCGUUAUGUCUAAUGCAUAGACUGUAUCAAAAAGCCAUUAGAACAUAUUAUUUAGGCGAUUUUGGCGUACUAGAUAAAAAUAAUUUAAGUUUAAAUUGUGUUAAUUCGAAAAGAACCUUUAGCCUCUAGAUUCAAUUGAAUAUUACGCAAUUGUUAAGAUUUGAGAAAGAAAAUUUUUGCUUACAUUGGUUUUGAAAUUAAUUAAGUUUACGUGAAAAAAAAUAGAAAGGGUUGUAAAUUGAAAACUUGCACAGCCAGCUUGCAGCAGUAGCAUGCAAAUUUUGGUUGUGGUGGUGACCGGUGAGCACUUAGCACUGAGCACCUUCAAUUAGAUUUUGCCACACAACCUGAAUAUGGAAAGGCUUUGAGAGGUUUGAAGUUUGAACCCCCAGUGGUAUCUAAGUGCAACAAUACUUGGUCUAUAUUUAGAAGCAAGAAAUCAAUUAAUGUUGAGAGCUGGUUGAUGACCAAGUAAGACCUAAAAGUUGACAAACAAAAUGAUCCAAAAGCUUUCAUAAAUCACGAUGUUAUCAACCUGAAUUACCAUUAUACAGGGGUUGGUCGGCCUCAUCUACACUCAACGACCAUCAAGUAAUUAGAUUAUUGAAUUUGAAGCUUGUUAGAAGAAGGCAGUGAAAAAGAGCAUGGCAUAAAGCCAUAAACAUUCGUUCUAUGAGCUAUCAAUAACUAACAGAUAUUUCCCCAGCUAAACAUAUAAUAAACAACUAAUGAAAUAUUUGACAGAUAGUUUAAGACGAGAUCAUCUAGCAUAAACAUACUAAGGGCCGGGUUCAAUUUACCUACACUCCAAUUCAAAAGCAACAUAGUUUUAAUAUUCUUCUUGAACAAGAGCAAAAUUCCAUCAAGUAUGCACGCCAAAAAACACAAAUAUAAUUAAAUCACUUUAUUCACUUGCCCACAAAUCCAUCCAAAGUCUUACCUUCCACUUCUUCUUCUGCUUCUUCUUCUUCAUCAUCAUCUUCUUCAUCUUCAUUUUCGACUUUCUCUUCUGCUGCAAAUAUUUCAACACUAAAUAUCAAGAGGAAAGCACCAAAACAUUGAUAAAACAAAGCUAAACUUAUGUUUCAAGUCUAUUAUGCAUAAUAUUAGCUGAAGUAAGCAGUGCACAAGAAGAAAAUUAUAAGAAAAGCUUGCGCCAAUUCUAUUUAUUCAAAAGACAUAACAUUAAUGACAUAUAUGGACAUAUAUUGAAGUCAAACUCACCUGUUUUAACGACUGAAAAACAAAGUACUCAGAAAUAUAGAAUGACACACAAACACACACACACACACACACACACACACACAUAUAUAUCUGCAAUAAAAAUGAACAUAGAAUAGAGCAUGCGUUUGAAAAUUGCUUAAAUUCUGUGCAUCAAACAGAACAGACACAUCAUUUACAAGUAUGAAGAUGCCUAAUUAGCCAGCGAAACAAAUUGAAACUUGAUGCAUAAUUUAUGAUUCUAUAUAUAUAUAACAACAAAUGAAAAUCAUUAUACCUCUUUUGGUACCCUUCUCCCGACAAAAGAU
This 63245-nucleotide long non-coding RNA is filed under the name Durio zibethinus. RNAcentral describes it as "long non-coding RNA (DZIB_LNC001913)". The record is from RNAcentral. Lineage: Eukaryota; Viridiplantae; Streptophyta; Magnoliopsida; Malvales; Malvaceae.